GCCCUUCAGGUUAGAGACGUGGUCUUGUCCUCCCAAGUACUAGGGACGCCCUCAGCCACGGCCUUCGCCCAACCGAUUUCGACGUCAGCAGCGAUCACCACCUCACAAGCCAACACCGCUCUCGAAGUACAAGCCGAAGCUGACAUGGGGGCCAUGCGUCAAAACAUGGCAAAACUUCAAGACACGCUUCGCCAGAUGCAAGAGCUGCAAUAAGCAUACGAAGCAGCAAGACAAGCCAAGGCCAAUGCCCAGCAGUUUUAUGCUCAGCGUCAAGUCAUUCCUUCUUAUGUCGCGCAAGCACUGGUGUACUUCGCCAGGCCAGCCCUAGCCGCUGCCGUUCACCCAACACAUCAAGUGAUCCAAGCACCGGUUCGCCCGGCGGCGCCUCAAGCCCAGUACCCGAAGCCUACUUAUACACCGCAAGCAAUGAUGGAAGCAGCUUCGACCUUGCAAGCUCAAUUCCAAGUUUUUCUGCAGCAACAACGUACAAAGAGCUUCACCUCCGGUUCAGACCGAGGGGAGCCCAAGACAAGGUGCAUUGGCGGGGCUUCUGGUUGGACAGUUCGCCCAGCCAAGUCAAGUUCGAGGGCCUUCGCCUCAAGGUCCAUCUUCACAAUUUGACCCAAGCACAAUGGCCCAAGCACUGACAACUUUUGCACAAGCUAUACCUCCAGGAUACGGAUCAGCCCCACCACCGAAUCAAACAUGGAAUCAAACCACGUUCAACCCAACCGCGGCAGCGCAGGUCACUUCUCCAGACCAGCAGAACCAGGCAAUGAUGUUCAACAUAGCGCUUCAGUCGAUGCCCACAGCACAACAGCCUGUGGAUUCCAUGGCUUCACCGUUCGCGCUGCCGUACCCACAUUUGAAUUGGCCUGCUCAGCAAGGGGCUAUGAUCAAGCCGAGGACCGAAAAGGGCCUGCCCCUCAGCUGGGGAAUCAAUAAUCAUCCCAUCCCACCCCAGUUCAAGUACCCUCCGGUCCCACGGUAUAUCGGGAGAAACAGAUCCGAAAGAGUUCUUGUCCAUCUACGCAUCUGCAAUUGAAGCCGCUCAUGGUGACGAGAACACCAAGGAGAAGGUAAUUCACCUCACGCUCGAUGGCAUAGCCAGGUCUUGGUAUUUCAAUUUGCAUGUUAAUAGCAUUUACUCAUGGGAGUAAUUGCGCGAUGUUUUUGUUCUUAACUUUCGAGGUACCUAUGCGAGGAGCCGAAAACACAACAAGACCUUAUGGGCAUUCGCCAAAGGCAAGGGGAAUCAACAAGGGAGUGCAUUUGCCUGUUUUCGCAAGCGCGUUGCCAAGUGCAAGAUAUAACCGAAGCGUAUGUUAUCCAUGCCGCUUUGGCCAGCUUGCUCGAGGGAGAACUCACAAGGAAACUCGCGCGUAAAGAACCCAGAACACUUGAACACCUCUUUUGCAUAAUUGAUGGAUAUGCUCGAGGUGAAGAAGAUACCAAGCGGAGGGAAGAAAUUCAAGCCGAGUAUGACAAGGCAGCAACAGCUGCAGCAGCCGCCGUCCAAACCAACACCCAAGCUCAGGUCCAAGCUCAAGCUGUAAGUUCAGCACCAGUUCAAGUUCACCCAGCAUCUCUGGCGAACCAAGUACUGCACCCCAGGCCGAACCAAGCACCCAUGACAUGGAAGAAAUUCAGGACUGAGUGAGCUAGCAAAACGGUGAUGGCGGUCGAAGAGGUACAAGCCCUCCGCAAGGAGUUCGACACCCAGCAAGCGGGCGGGCAACAACAGCCUUUUCACAAGAAGGUCAAGAAAGACUUAUGUCACGCCCUAAAAAUCGACUAAAUUAAAAAUGCAUAUUUUAAAUCAUUUUUAGAAAUUAAUUUAAAAGCCUACAAGCUAAACCCUAAUUUUCUAGGAAAAUUUUCAACAUAAAAAUGAGCUAGAUAAAAUUUUAUUAAAUACUAUGCUUGCUCCUUUAUUUUCUAGAUUUUUCUGGGAAUUAUUUGAGCAAGGGAAGUAUUUUUAAUAAUUGAAACAACAUUUCACAAAUUGUUUUAUUUCAAAAAGUUUAAAAAAAUCCCCUCCUAAGCCGUUGGGCCGAAUUCGGCCCAACUCUCUCUCUCUCUCUCCCGCGCGGCCCAAGCCGGCCCAGCUGCCGCCGCCGCUCUCUCUCUCGUGGGACACUGACAGGUGGGCCCCACCUGUCAGGUGUUUCCCCUACCUCCGGCCGGCUGCCCUAGCCGAGUCCGAGCACGAGCCGCCUCCUUCUCCUCUCAAAUUCGCCUCAAUCCGACCCCGAUUCCUCCGGGUUUUUGAGGGGUUUUGUUCCUCUCGUUCUCCUCUUUCUUUUCCCCCAAGAAUCAAAGAGAAUCGUUGAGGAUUUGAUCCGAAUCGAGUUCGUUUUGAUUUUAUCCCUAAAACCGAGUUUUAAUCUUUCCCGAGUCGAUUGCUCUCGUUUGGAGUUCGAUCUCUUCAAUCCAAGCUUAUAUAAAGGACCACCUCGUCGUUCUCUUUCGUUUGCCCCCUCUCCCGAGCUUUCCCGUGCACCGUAGCGCCGUCGCCGCGUCGUUUUAGUCGCCGCCGCCGCCGGCCAUCUUUCGGCCACGUCGCGCCGCCGCGUCCGUCGUCGCCGCCGCUUGCCGCCGCCGCCGUUAGGUGCGCCGUGGUGAGAGGAAUCUCGGCCGCCCCUUCCCCUUCGCCGCCGACCACCGGAGCUCCGCCGACGCCGUCAAGCCGAGCCGCCGCGCCGCCUCUUCUCGUCGCCGGCCGUCAUCGUGCAUCGUUUGUUGUCGUGGUAAGUACCAUCGGGUUCGUCUCGAUGUCCUCUUCGCGUUGGUGUCCUCCAAUCGCCCGGCCGAAGUCCCUAGCUCCGGCGAGCUCGCAAACCCUAAUCGGCCGUGGGUGACGUCAUGCUGACGUCAUCAGGGCUGACGUCAUCAUCCCCUUUUCUUUUUCCUUUUUCCAAUUUUCUAAUAGAUUAAAACUUCGGAAAAUCAUAACUAAAUAACCGUAGAUCCGUUUCAGGUGGUUUAAGUUUCUAAAUUCUUCUAAAAUCAAGAUCUACAUGAUAAAAAUAUCCACAUGUACUGUUUAUGCUUGUUUUUGUACUGUUUUGUUGAUUUUGUUUAUUUGCUUUAGUUUCCGACGUUCCGGAGGAGAGCGUUUCCGUUGAGGAAGGUUCCGAAGCGUUUGUGGAAGCCCAAGGCAAGUCACACAGAUCCCAAACAACCCUUUGAGCAUGUUGAACCCGUUUAAAGCUAUUAUUUUAUUUCAACUAUGCAUUGUUUUCGAAUGUCAUCGGGUGGUGAACCUUUCCCAGUUAAUUAUUGGCCGAAGAUGACUUUAUUUUCCUAUGGGUUAUAAUUUGAUUAGCAUGAACCUUAUAUAUUGGAUUGGUUCAGCUAAAUGCUAUAUGUAAGUUUGCUUAGCCAUGCUUAGAAACAUUAGCUAACUAAAGGGGUUAAUUAUAAAUUAUAUUAUAUUAUUAUUCAAUUAUGGUGAUUCAAUGGUAGCUCACGAUGGUAAAUCGUGUGAUGAUAAUUAAUUGGUAAUUAAAACCUGGCUAAGGUGGGUUGUGAGCAUAUGGUUUUGAUGGUUGUGCUCAUGACAAUUAAGGACCGGUUCGCGAGCUACUGUUGUGAAACAUUUAUCGUGCCAACCACAAGCCAGCGUGGGCAACGGCUUUAUCUUUUGUAUAACGUGAUUCAUUAUAGUGCGCCAGACUGAGAAGUGGCGAGAAGUCCACGGGGGUCGCUGGGGAGUCCAUGCCUUGUUUAUAAGGGGGUGAUUAUGAUCCAGGAAAGGUGCGCUGUAAUGGGUUAUGUUGUGCAAGGGGUAUUGUCACAACUCCUUUCCGAGGUACGGUGGUGGUAUUGAGGCACAUGGUGACAUGAUGUGGGGUUGUGUCUUGUGGGUACAGUGGUACACCUCUGAUUAGAGUUUAAACUAUUCGAAUAGCCGUACCCGCGGUUAUGGGUGAGUUGAGCAAUGUUUUUCGUGAUUAGUUUCACACUACUCAUCAAUGUUAAUAAUGUGAUAAAUAAUUUGACUCCUGGUUUGGAAUGGUUAAUUCCUGGUUUGGAGGUUUAAUUUGUUCAACUGGGGUUAGUUGUUCAAAUGUGGUUGGGCCUAUGCAACAUGGGUGUGUUGUAUGGUGUUAUUUAAUAUUGAUCAAUUAUUCAACUGUUUUUAUUAUUCUCUUAUAUAUUUAUUAAAUGCUGUUUUCUGCAAAUGAGCUAUAUUAUGCCAUCCUUUGUUAUCCUGUGCACUUGCAUAUUUGCUGUGUGGCUUGUUGAGUAUGUCAUACGCUCAUUCUUGCAAUAUUCAUUCAUCAGAAGAGGAGUAUCUCAGUGAAGGUGAUGAUCUGGAGGAUUAGGCUUGUUCUUGGUUAAGAUGCCUGUGGAGUGGAGUCGCCAUAGCUGUUCCGUAGUUUGUUAUCGUUUUAUAUUUCCGCUGCGUAGAAUGUUAUUUUUGUUUGAGAGGAACUGUCUACCUCUGUAAUAAUUUUUAUUUGCGAGUAUUAAAUAGUUAUUUAUUUGUACUCUAUUAUCAAAUUGUCAUUGUGUGCCUCGGUUGAUUCCUGGACGAGGGUUUAACACACAUGUAAGCGUUUGGAAUUUUGGAUAGAAAUUCCGGGCGUGACAACUUAUAAUGCGCUUUUCACGGACGCUCUUCGCACACGACCGAGCAGAGUCGAAACAUUCGGCAGCAAGGCAAUGUUCAAGCACAAAGGCAUUGUCUCAGCAUUGUCUCUACAGCUGACAGCAUUCCAAGAUACUUUUCACAGCCAAUAUCCUUCGGACCAGAAGAUGCCAAAGGAGUUCUUUUCCCGCACCAAGACCCGUUGAUCGUUUCGGUAGAAAUGGCUAGUUUUGAAGUUCGGCGCAUCCUCAUCGAUGGAGGAAGUUCGGCCGAUGUCAUGUUUGCGUUGGAGGUAUACCGCGAAGGGCCUUCGGCCGGGCCUACCGAAACCGAAAACUUGGCGACAGGUUCAAACCGGAAGCAAGCGGUGAAGGUCGAAGAGGGAUACCCUAAGGGCGAAAGCCAUGGCUCGGGAAGUACGCGUGCUUCGUCGGACAGGGCCCCGUCAGGAGGCCACGCAAGCGAAGAUGGCGAGGCAAAAAGCCUCGGCCCGAAGGUAUGGAUUUCGCCAAGGUACCAAACCCCACCGUGAGGAAGCCCAACGGGCUGUUGCGCCCCUGCGGGGAUUCGCCAAGAUCAAUGGGCUGAGCCAUUUAGCCCAAUUGGGGCCAUACGUGUAAAGGACAUUGUGUACCCCUAAUCAUGUCCCUAUCAUAAGGGUAACCAUGUAAAUUCUCCUGUAAAGCCUAAACCCUAGGGGGAGAGAACCUGUAAUAAGGUUAUAAAUAGCCCUUCUAGGCCAUGUAAUAGGGGGAUCCCCAAAUAAUUUUUUACUAAGCAAUACAAUUGCCUUACUUUUCCAACAACUAUUGAGAGAACCACGCCUUUCGGUGUGACGCAUACCUUUUCGCCAUAGUACGUAGUGGGGGCCGGCAUGUUCCGACAUAACAAAAGCACGAGAGUGACUAUGCGAACGAUGGCAUAAAGCUAUGAUCAAUAAUUCACAAAGUUUCGAGCGGACAAAAUCACAAAACUUUUCUAUUUACGUGAGAAAAACCUCAUAAAAAAUUACAUCACCAGUUACAUGUUCGCCCUCAAUUAAGUUACUAAUCGGCGAAUUAGGUUCAUCGUUGCUACUAAUAUUAUACACAACCCUUAAAGGGGACGGUGGCCAAAAGCAAACUAAGCUGUAACGGCGACGAGCGAUAGCCUCUUGGAGAAACGACCUCUUAAAGUUUCGCUAGAAAAUUGCGCUAUCUUCGCGAUACGUUACACGAUACCUGUCAUAGUCUUUCAAAGUUCGACCGGGGUGUGCACGCAUCCAUUCGGCAACCCGUAUAACCAUGUAGCUGUUGCCUUUUAUUAACAUUUCAUGGUAAACAGGCCGAAAACGACACUUGGUCUUCAGCAAUCCUUUAACCGCCACGAACUUCUCGUUCUUGUUUCGCCAACUUUCAGGUGGGGGCCGAAUGCCCAUUUUUCGGCCACGAAUCUCCUGACAAAGCACAAAAGAACAAGUGCAAAAGGAAAAAUGUGGACGAAAUCAAUCCCACUUUCCAACAAAAUCAUAAGGUUGGCGAAAGCAUUAACUUUUCCAUUAAUAAAAUAAAAAAGUCAUAAUGGCUAUAAGAUGAAAACGGCUCAAAGCCGAACAUGCAAAGCGCCUAUAUACAUAGUAGGACUACCAAAAAGCCUAAAAGGACAAAGAAAAAAAAGGUGGGAGUCACACGAGGGCCUCACACCUCAGGGUGGUCUUGGCCUCCAUUGCCUUUGCCCUCGUGUCCGGCGCCCGGUUCCGACGGCCCAAGGUCCCCUCCGGUGUUAGUGGUAGUGGCUUCGUCCUUUGCAAUCCUCUCGAGAUUCUCGCGAAGGCGUGUCUUCGCGCAAUCCCGGCCGCCAUCCUCCUAGAAACCUUUUCGGAAGGCCCUUAAGGCCGUUCCGGAACACUGUGAAUUGUCAGGACAUUCUUCUUUCACGAGGUCGGGAAAGAUCCCAAUGUGGUCACAACCGUGUGAGUGUAGCUGGCUAAGGAUGAAGCCCGCCGAAACACGCGCACAACAGUCACCAUAAGCACCUGCCACUUCGACGACUGAGCCGGCCGCUUCCUGCGUCCUCUCGGAGAAGUCGAACGUCGUCCCGUCGUCGCCCGGAGCGCCCUCCGCCCGUGUCCCGAGGUCAUACAGAGCCAGCUUGAGAGUAUAACAGACUUGCUUGGGGGACUCUGUUGCCGGCGCCAAAGUCACAGCAGCAGCUUCGGCCGAGAUAAGACGGGCCUCAAGGGACUUGAUCUUCUCCUCGGCCGCAGCAAGUUGGCGAUCUCGUUCUGCGUCCCGCUAGUUCGCCGCCUCUAGGUCGGCGCGGAGAGACUUGUUGUCUCCUGUAAGAGCCUUGUUUUCCGCAUUCGCCUUUUUUAUGGUCUCCGCCACAACACGUCUUUCGUCUUCCUUGUGGCAAAGAUCCUCCUCGGUUUUUCGGAGGCGAAGACGGUACCCGUCCGGCCUCUCCAAGGCAGACUUUUCCGCACUCAAGUGCGCGGCGAGGCCCUGGACAAGGGGAACCAAAUACAUUAUGGCGUGACAUAGGUGAAAUGAGAAAAUUCUGCAGACAGAAAAUUCAUACCCGCACAAACAAGCUCUCCACGGCCGUGCAACUUUCGCCAAAUUUGUUCAGCUCGGUGAAGAGGCCAAGGCCAUCGGACGGUGCGAUAACUUGGCACACCCCGUCCAUGAAAGGAGUGAUCUCCGGCCACGUGGCGAAAUCCACGGGAACGAAGUGCGGGGCAGUAAGCGUCACGUCCGACAAAGUCAUUUCGACCGCCGGAGCUUUUCCUUCCCGCUGACGAGCUUGCGAAGGAAUCGCCUCAACCUAUUCGUCCCCGGAGACGUUCGCUCCAGCGGCCGGAGCCGAGGCACUUCCACUCGUUGCAGCUUCGGCGUCACUAGCAAGCGCUGGGGACAUGCGUCUCUGUCGCGACCGGGAAAAUUGCCUUUUCCCGAACGCUUGUGUAUUAAUCCCCGUCCCAGGAAAAGCCGGGGUACACCACACAAACAUGAUAUAAAAGACACAUCUUUAUUAUAUCGAUAAUAUUUACAUUAUUACAAAGGCGCUUCAGGCCUGACAAUCAAAAAUAAACAGCAGCGGACUAGCGAGCCUACGGCUCCACCUUCACAGGCGCUCAACUGGGGUAUAAGCCAGGACUCCACCUAAGACAUCUUCUCCAAAGCUUCUCUUACUGAAGAGGGGAAAGAUUGAGCAAGAAUGAGUACAACCACAGUACUCAGCAAGCCACACCGGAGAUGCAUAAUUAAUGCAAGGGGGUACAAGGGGAUAAUAAUAUAGGGGUUAAGUUUUGCAGUAAACAGCAUUUAAAAGUCACUUAGUUGCCCAAAGCCAUUUUAUAAAGACGAUCCUAGAGCUACACAAAAUUAUUAAUCAAGGCCGUGAACCCUCACGAACCUGCCUUAACCCAAGGCCUACGAUGAUUCAGACCGAACUGGCAACCCGACCCUGGGUCCCAGCUCGUCCCAAGCCAACCCAGGCCAACCAUUCCACAUUUUAGUUGUUGAGCAAAUUUUAAGAAUUAAAACACUGACUUGGGUACAUUGCUCGGCUUGCCCAUAACCGAGGGCGCGGCUAUUCGAAUAGAUUAUACUCUGAUCAGAGGUGUACAUCUUUACCCACAAGACACAUCUUCCUCACGUGCAACCACGUGCCACAUACCACCACGGUAUACAGACGGAAGACGUGACAUAGUUUCCAACCCAUCCUAGCCAUAGACAAGAGUACCGACCCAAUCCCACCUACGGCCGGAACCUCCGGGACAGGCAGGCAGGACUGAGCCCCUAGCAGCAGGGCACCAACCCUGUGCCAUGACAUCUCGACUACCGGGCCGCAGCUCGUGUAGCCUUCAUUUGUCCUAGAGAAUGUCCAUCGACCCCCGACUUCAUCCAUCUCCAUCCGUGUACUUUUGUUUAUGACCAGACUGAGCCACAAACUAAGCCUUACCCACUAGACAGGUGGAAGUACGGUAGUGCUUUGCAACAGAGGCCCGAGCUUAAUCCUUAUAGUGGCCGGGGUGCUACUUCCCACAACUGGCAUGCACCCAAACCCCACCGAAAACAGGUUUUAGGGGUUUUGAAAGAGGAAGAGAGGUGUAUGUCCAAUUCCACCAUAAACCAACAAUUUCAUAGUGUCCAGGUGAUAUGAGAAUUCCCAAAGUCUAAAGUUAUAAAACCACCUAAUAUUGCCUAAUUAAUCAGCGAAGCAUCUACCUAAAUUCAUACUUGUGGAACCAUGAAUAGAGUGUCCACUAGUUGGGGUUUUGUUUAAUCUAGGGUGAACAAGGUAAUAAUAUCAAUAACAAUAAUAUUAAGGUCAUAACAAAGGUAAAUAGGCAUGGCUAAAUAAAACAGUGAUCACGCGGGAAUUUAAAUAAAGCGUUAAUGCAAUAAUUUAAAUCAAAAUAAUUUUAUAAACUGGGAUUCAAUAUGUUCAAGGAUGAUGUGACUUGCCUUGCUCAGAGAGAACGGCCUUCCGAACCUUCGGCGACGACCGCAAACCACGCUUCGGGAACCUCCGGAAUGACAGAAGCUACGCGAAGCACACAAGCAAAGCUACAAGCCUAUAAAGAAGCAAUAACAAUACAUAAAAAGAAAGCACAGGGUUCUUUAGGUUAUAACAAACAUUAAGAGACUUGAACGGGUCGAUUCGGAGUUCGUAUGACCAAGAUAUGAUCAUCCGAAGUUUAGUGCUGUUAUAUGGAGAUUUGCGGAUUAUUAUAAUUAAGCUUUGCAACAAUAAAACAUGUGUAAGCGCUAGCCUGGAAAAGACAGGAAGGCUGCGCCGUUGACAUGCGGACCCCACAUGUCAACCUAAAGGACCGCGGUAGACCGAGUACACAGAGUCGGUCCAUGGGUCGACGGAAGCGGAUCCCGUGUGUCAACCGAGGCGAGUGGCCGACAAACGGACUCCACUAGACACCACACGGGUUGCACACGUGGAAACCACGCGGCUACCGAGCGGGCACACUAACACGGACACUACACGGUCACCAUCCGCACACGUGAACGACUACCGACACCGGUACACGGGUACCGGGGUUGACGACCGCACAACGAGCACGGACGACACCGAAAGGACGAGGACGGGGCAGCGAGGGAGAGGGAUCCUUACCACCACGCGACGAGGCGCGGGAACGACAACGACGAACGGGCGCGGCGGAGACAGACGGGCACAACGGAGACGAACGGCGAGGGGACGGCUUCGGCGGCGAUCCUUGGACGAAGGCGAGACGCGGCCGGCACGAGGCUUGACGACGCGGAGCCGAGGACGAAGACGAGGACGGGGCUGCCGCGGCUCGCUUGACGAACGCGGACGACGGACGAGAACGGCUCGACGGAGGGACGAACGCCACGACGACCGAGAACGACGAGAGGACGACGACGACGACGACCGGGGCCGGCGAGGAGACGAUGAGGGCAGCCGGCGGCAGCUGCACGGAGACGGGGACGACGUGGAACGCACCGCUGCGAAUCCGACGACGGAGGCGGCACCGCGAGACGACGAGCCGGCGAGGAUGAACGGUGAAGACGACGACGGACACCGGCGGUGUUCGGUCGGAGGGGAGGCGAGGCCGAGGACGACGUCGCGGCUGCGAUGCCGAAGAUGGUGGAGGUGUGGCCGACCGGUGCACGGCGUGGAGGGAGAGGUUCGCGGCGAUGUGCGGCGGCUUCCGGGCGAAACCGAGGGGUGGACGAGGUGGAGGGCUACGCCACCAUGCCGAGGGAGGGACGGCAGCGCCGGCUGAUGCACGGGCCCGGUGGAAGGGGGCUGCCGGAGGAGACGUCGACGAGGAGGAAGGAGAGGCCGACGCGGGCGACGGCGUUCCGGCGAAAUUCGGGCGACGCCGUGGCCUUGCCGGGAAAGAGGACGGCACUCCGAUGCCGGGAGAGGUGGUGGCGACGUCGGCCGGCGCACCGGGGACGCGGCAGAGGCGACCGGAGGCGGAAUCGUGGCGGCAACACCACGGUUGCCGGCGGGGAGGCACUUCCGGAGGUCUCCGCGGGAGACAGAGGGUAGGCCGGCGAAGAGGAGGCGGCUGCGAUGCUAGAGGAGGCGACGGCGCGACCGGACGGCGCUCCGGCGAGGAGGGAGAGGCGGCUGGAGGCGGCCGGCGGCACGGGAGGGAGGGGACGACGGCGGGGAGGUGGCUAGGGACCACGGGAGAGCCCGGGAGGAGACUAAAACGGUAGAACGCAAAGAGGGGGUUCUAUUUUAUAGGAUGGGGGAGGGAGCCGGGCACGGGAGGAGCGGGGAACGGCGGCGGAAAAGCCGGCCGGCGGCAAUGGAAGGCGGCCGGGAAUGGCGCGGCCGUUUCCGGCGAUUGGGGGCACCAUUCAAGGGGAAAUUAAGGGGGAAAGAGAGAGGAGGGAAAGGGGAUUAAUUCCCCCUAAUCAAUUUGGGAAUCCCAUGCUUGAAUCGCGCGGAUUUGAGGGAGGAAUGGCGCUAGGGUUCGCACGGGAGGGAGAGAGAGGAAGGGGCCGGGCGGUUGGAAGGGGACGACCGGCCUGGCGCGUGGGCCCCACGCGGUCAGGCGGCGGCGUCAGCGCGCGCACGCGCGCGGCACGGGCGGGAGGCGCGGCUCGGCUUGGGCCGGGCGAAGCCGAGGCGACCCAGGAGGAGAGGAGGGAGAGGAGGCCCGGGAGAGAGAGGGGAGGGGAGGGAGCUGGGCCGGGAGGGGAGGAGGCCCAAGAGGAGGAGGGAGAGAAGGAGAGGGAGAGAAAGAGAGGGAGGAGAGGGAGACUUCGGCCGCGGGCCGAGGGGAGAGAGGGAGGACUUUGGGCCAGACUUGGCCCAAAGGAGGAAGGAGGGUUAUUUUUAGGUUUUUCUUUUUAAAUAAACUUUGAUAAUUGUUUUUGUUGCUUAAUAAUUAUUUCCGGUGCUCUGAAAAUUCAAGUAAAAUUUGAGGGCUCCUUUUAGACCAAGGAUAAUUUAACAAAAAUUCUCCGGGCCACAUUCGAAUUUUUCUUGUACGUAUUUUAGUGUUUGCCAAAUUCUUUUCGAAUUUUAAUUAAUUCUAUUAUUCCUUUUAGCGAAUGAUUUUUAAUUCGGGAUGAAUUUAUCAGGACGUGACAAAUCCACCCCCCUUACAGGAAUCUCGUCCCCGAGAUUCGAGGAGGCUAGCAAGAGGAUAGGUUGGGCGGUCUUCUCUUCUUGUCUGACUCCUUCCGCUCCGUCUUCUAUAACAAACUUGCCUAACAAAACUUCUCCACUCUGGACUGCUUGGCUCGAUCUCCUGUUGCAGAUGGAAUCUUCUCUUCACCCGACUUGUCCCUGGUUGAACCUUUAGCUGACUUCGACUGGGUUGCGGCACUUGAAGAUGGUGCUUCAGUUCCAGAACUUCGCAUAGUUCAUAUCUUUGGCGUCAACCUCAUACAACUUACCCACUUCAUGUCAUGCGUCAACACUAGCUUGUCAUUACUAGGAUACCAUGUUUGUCAUCAUAAGAAUAUCAUGCUUGUCAUUUACUUCUAACUUGCACCAACUGCCUCAUAUUAGCUUUCCUAGUCUCCGGUGCUAGAUACUUCCUCUAUUCAAUGUGAGGGUCGGUAACUUUUGCCUUUGAAUUAUGUUUCCCAAGGUAACCAAAUUAUCCCACUUGACAUGCUUUGACGUCUUCCCAAAUGACUUUACUGCUGAACUUGUUAUUGUCUGAUCAUUUUCCUGCCAAAUCUGAAGCUUCGUUGUUAGGUGUGAUUUUAAUCUGACCUCUAUAGACUAUCUUCGAACAUUUCACUUGGUUCAUAACUGGGAAUAGUUCCCACGAACAGGCAGCUCGGAUUUACUUUCGUUACAUUCAGUUUACUUCCCACUAUUACCUUCAGGUUGUCCUCAGUUAGCAUUCAACGUAUUCCUUUACACCUUUAACCUUGAUGUGUUCUUUCCCGAUUUCUCUUAUCAAUCACCUUUCGACCUACUUCUUUGCCCGGUAAUAAACACCUUUGCUGGUAUCUUCUAUCAAUCACCUUUUAAACUUUGUCAACCAAGUACUCUCCACUCCGAGAGUUGUGGAUGCUUCUGGUGACAAUGAGGUCCUUUGGCUUGCUGCCUUCCAGUGAAACCUUGAAGUGUUUCGCCAAAAGCUAUACUGACUGUCUUUGCCUUUGAUCCGAAAAAGACACAUCUGAAACUCUUAGUCCAACAAAUGUUUCUUUGGUUAAUCGCUUGAUUUUCUUUUCCAUCAUCAGGUUGGUUAUUAACUCGAGGUUAGAACAUAGUUCCUCUGGAAUGAGACCCUAGGUCUCCUUUGACAGUAAACAAUUAUACGCAUGAUCCCAUAUCAGCAUCUUCCAAAAUAAUCCUCAUAGAACUUGUUUUUAUCACACAUGUCUCCCUUAUUACAUGAAUACAAGGCACUACCUUAAACAAAAAAGGGAAGAUGCUUAACAUCGGUACAUUGUUUCUACUAUGGGUUAGGAUUAACAUGAGGCCUCACAGGUACGGCGUUUGCUCCAGUGACCACAAGGCGAGUGACUUGUCUUCUUCUUGCAUAAUGGCCGGAGUGAUGGCGCAGGUUACGCUUCGGCUGUGGACAAUCUCUAGAGAAAUGACCUGGUUCUUUGCAGUUGUAACAAAUCAACGUCUUCUUUACUGAGCUGUCCAUCUGGGGACGAUCAUUUUGACUUGGAGUUGGAAUUGGUGGUUGGAAAUCCUUGCUAACAUUGGCAUCAGUGGUACCAUAGUUGCUAUCACCAUUGGAGUCUUUCUCAGUGUCAAAAUUGCUAAGGUUGUCAUUCUGGGUUCCAACAUUGAUACUAUCGUUGACAUCUUGGUGAAUGCUACUGACAUUGCACGCUUUAUUCGGGUGGUCACUAAUGGGGCAAGAACCAUGGUUGUUGGUGGUAUCAUCAUCAUUAGUAUUGCUAGUGUUGUUGUCUGCAUUGCGUCCAUCUUCUUCGGGCAGGAAUUCUUGAUGCACAACAGAAGAUCCGGUGAUCUGAAGUGGCUCAGUGCGCUGUCUUUGGUUACCACCUGGAAAUACUGGGAUGUUGACAAUCCUUCUCUUGCAGUUCGUCAUCCGAUUAUGCUCACUUUCAAGUUGCAUGGCUUUGUCCACAAGUUUCUCAAAAUCUUCAUAAUCCUCUAGGAGUAGUUGCACUGCAAGCUCAUCUUUUAACCCCUGGAGAAACUUCUCUUGUUUGUCUUCAUCCGUUUCCACAUCUUCUGGUGCAUAGUGAGCCAAACGAUAGAACUCGUGCAGGUACUCUGUGACGGUCAAAUCUCCUUGCUUCAGGUAGCGAAACUCUCGUUUUCUUAGUGCGAUCAUUCCUGCGGGAACAUGUGAUCUCUUGAAUACAGAUGAAAACUCGUUCCAGGUGAUGGUAUGUCCUUCUGGCCGUGAUGCUUCGUAGCUAUCCCACCACUCUGAAGCCGGUCCAACCAACUGAUGAGUUGCGAAGCCAACCCGCUCCUGGUCGGUGCACUGAAUCAACCCUAGCUUCUUCUCGACUGUGCGCAACCAAUCACUGGCUUCCAUAGGAUCGACGGCAAUGGCAAAGGUUGGAGGCUCAGUUUUGAGAAAUUCUGAUAACUUGCACUGUUGCUGGACUGUAGGUACUUGAACGUUGGUUGCCCCUGCUGGGUUGUUCCAAUUCUGUAAUAGUUGAAAGGCUGUUGCCAACAUGUUGGUUUGGUUAACCACAAUUUGGAUUAGCUCUGGUGAGGUUUCGUUUAUGCUUUUCUCAUUCCCAUUGGCUUGGGUUCUUGAGUCAUCGGAUCCAUCAUUCCCAUAGCCUUUGUUACCAGUGUUAUCCAUCUGUCACAAGGUAGAGGUUGAGAGGGGAAGCAUACAAGGAAAGAAUCGACCAGAACUAGGGACAAGACCUUAAAGGAACUAACUCUUUUUGUUGAUGUGUUGUUUGUUUUGCUUAUUCUGCAGGUUGAUUAAGCAAACAACCUAGCAUGGUUACAUCACACCCCACUGAUGCAAACCACGCGCUACACACACAAGCAAGGAAACACACAACUAACGACUCUACCCUAGAGGGCGGCUUAGGUUCUGCAACUGGUUCUCCAAGAUCUUCACUCCUUCUUCACAGCUGGCUUCACUGCUUCCUACACUUCGCUAGCGGAUCCUGCAGUCUUCCGGAGCUUCGGCAAACAAUUGGCGACAUCUUCUUCUUCGCAAAGCUGACCAUCUAGUACUAGUUGAAAUUUGAAGAAGGAAGAAAAAAGUAAACCAUUUUGCAAAUAGCAUUAGGGGAAGGAGAAAAAGGAACUUUCGCCAAUAGUUUUAUUUAUAAAAUAUGUCCUUAGGUUUUAUCCACUUGGCUUAUCCUACCGUCGAGAUGGCUCUGAUACCAGCUUGUCGCGACCAGGAAAAUUGCCUUUUCCCGAACGCUUGUGUAUUAAUCCCCGUCCCAGGAAAAGCCGGGGUACACCACACAAACAUGAUAUAAAAGACACAUCUUUAUUAUAUCGAUAAUAUUUACAUUAUUACAAAGGCGCUUCAGGCCUGACAAUCAAAAAUAAACAGCAGCGGACUAGCGAGCCUACGGCUCCACCUUCACAGGCGCUCAACUGGGGUAUAAGCCAGGACUCCACCUAAGACAUCUUCUCCAAAGCUUCUCUUACUGAAGAGGGGAAAGAUUGAGCAAGAAUGAGUACAACCACAGUACUCAGCAAGCCACACCGGAGAUGCAUAAUUAAUGCAAGGGGGUACAAGGGGAUAAUAAUAUAGGGGUUAAGUUUUGCAGUAAACAGCAUUUAAAAGUCACUUAGUUGCCCAAAGCCAUUUUAUAAAGACGAUCCUAGAGCUACACAAAAUUAUUAAUCAAGGCCGUGAACCCUCACGAACCUGCCUUAACCCAAGGCCUACGAUGAUUCAGACCGAACUGGCAACCCGACCCUAGGUCCCAGCUCGUCCCAAGCCAACCCAGGCCAACCAUUCCACAUUUUAGUUGUUGAGCAAAUUUUAAGAAUUAAAACACUGACUUGGGUACAUUGCUCGGCUUGCCCAUAACCGAGGGCGCGGCUAUUCGAAUAGAUUAUACUCUGAUCAGAGGUGUACAUCUUUACCCACAAGACACAUCUUCCUCACGUGCAACCACGUGCCACAUACCACCACGGUAUACAGACGGAAGACGUGACAUAGUUUCCAACCCAUCCUAGCCAUAGACAAGAGUACCGACCCAAUCCCACCUACGGCCGGAACCUCCGGGACAGGCAGGCAGGACUGAGCCCCUAGCAGCAGGGCACCAACCCUGUGCCAUGACAUCUCGACUACCGGGCCGCAGCUCGUGUAGCCUUCAUUUGUCCUAGAGAAUGUCCAUCGACCCCCGACUUCAUCCAUCUCCAUCCGUGUACUUUUGUUUAUGACCAGACUGAGCCACAAACUAAGCCUUACCCACUAGACAUGUGGAAGUACGGUAGUGCUUUGCAACAGAGGCCCGAGCUUAAUCCUUAUAGUGGCCGGGGUGCUACUUCCCACAACUGGCAUGCACCCAAACCCCACCGAAAACAGGUUUUAGGGGUUUUGAAAGAGGAAGAGAGGUGUAUGUCCAAUUCCACCAUAAACCAACAAUUCCAUAGUGUCCAGGUGAUAUGAGAAUUCCCAAAGUCUAAAGUUAUAAAACCACCUAAUAUUGCCUAAUUAAUCAGCGAAGCAUCUACCUAAAUUCAUACUUGUGGAACCAUGAAUAGAGUGUCCACUAGUUGGGGUUUUGUUUAAUCUAGGGUGAACAAGGUAAUAAUAUCAAUAACAAUAAUAUUAAGGUCAUAACAAAGGUAAAUAGGCAUGGCUAAAUAAAACAGUGAUCACGCGGGAAUUUAAAUAAAGCGUUAAUGCAAUAAUUUAAAUCAAAAUAAUUUUAUAAACUGGGAUUCAAUAUGUUCAAGGAUGAUGUGACUUGCCUUGCUCAGAGAGAACGGCCUUCCGAACCUUCGGCGACGACCGCAAACCACGCUUCGGGAACCUCCGGAAUGACAGAAGCUACGCGAAGCACACAAGCAAAGCUACAAGCCUAUAAAGAAGCAAUAACAAUACAUAAAAAGAAAGCACAGGGUUCUUUAGGUUAUAACAAACAUUAAGAGACUUGAACGGGUCGAUUCGGAGUUCGUAUGACCAAGAUAUGAUCAUCCGAAGUUUAGUGCUGUUAUAUGGAGAUUUGCGGAUUAUUAUAAUUAAGCUUUGCAACAAUAAAACAUGUGUAAGCGCUAGCCUGGAAAAGACAGGAAGGCUGCGCCGUUGACAUGCGGACCCCACAUGUCAACCUAAAGGACCGCGGUAGACCGAGUACACAGAGUCGGUCCAUGGGUCGACGGAAGCGGAUCCCGUGUGUCAACCGAGGCGAGUGGCCGACAAACGGACUCCACUAGACACCACACGGGUUGCACACGUGGAAACCACGCGGCUACCGAGCGGGCACACUAACACGGACACUACACGGUCACCAUCCGCACACGUGAACGACUACCGACACCGGUACACGGGUACCGGGGUUGAUGACCGCACAACGAGCACGGGCGACACCGAAAGGACGAGGACAGGGCAGCGAGGGAGAGGGAUCCUUACCACCACGUGACGAGGCGCGGGAACGACAACGACGAACGGGCGCGGCGGAGACAGACGGGCACAACGGAGACGAACGGCGAGGGGACGGCUUCGGCGGCGAUCCUUGGACGAAGGCGAGACGCGGCCGGCACGAGGCUUGACGACGCGGAGCCGAGGACGAAGACGAGGACGGGGCUGCCGCGGCUCGCUUGACGAACGCUGACGACGAACGAGAACGGCUCGACGGAGGGACGAACGCCACGACGACCGAGAACGACGAGAGGACGACGACGACGACGACUGGGGCCGGCGAGGAGACGAUGAGGGCAGCCGGCGGCAGCUGCACGGAGACGGGGACGACGUGGAACGCGCCGCUGCGAAUCCGACGACGGAGGCGGCACCGCGAGACGACGAGCCGGCGAGGAUGAACGGUGAAGACGACGACGGACACCGGCGGUGUUCGGUCGGAGGGGAGGCGAGGCCGAGGACGACGUCGCGGCUGCGAUGCCGAAGAUGGUGGAGGUGUGGCCGACCGGUGCACGGCGUGGAGGGAGAGGUUCGCGGCGAUGUGCGGCGGCUUCCGGGCGAAACCGAGGGGUGGACGAGGUGGAGGGCUACGCCACCAUGCCGAGGGAGGGACGGCAGCGCCGGCUGAUGCACGGGCCCGGCGGAAGGGGGCUGCCGGAGGAGACGUCGACGAGGAGGAAGGAGAGGCCGACGCGGGCGACGGCGUUCCGGCGAAAUUCGGGCGACGCCGUGGCCUUGCCGGGAAAGAGGACGGCACUCCGGUGCCGGGAGAGGUGGUGGCGACGUCGGCCGGCGCACCGGGGACGCGGCAGAGGCGACCGGAGGCGGAAUCGUGGCGGCAACACCACGGUUGCCGGCGGGGAGGCACUUCCGGAGGUCUCCGCGGGAGACAGAGGGUAGGCCGGCGAAGAGGAGGCGGCUGCGAUGCUAGAGGAGGCGACGGCGCGACCGGACGGCGCUCCGGCGAGGAGGGAGAGGCGGCUGGAGGCGGCCGGCGGCACGGGAGAGAGGGGACGACGGCGGGGAGGUGGCUAGGGACCACGGGAGAGCCCGGGAGGAGACUAAAACGGUAGAACGCAAAGAGGGGGUUCUAUUUUAUAGGAUGGGGGAGGGAGCCGGGCACGGGAGGAGCGGGGAACGGCGGCGGAAAAGCCGGCCGGCGGCAAUGGAAGGCGGCCGGGAAUGGCGCGGCCGUUUCUGGCGAUUGGGGGCACCAUUCAAGGGGAAAUUAAGUGGGAAAGAGAGAGGAGGGAAAGGGGAUUAAUUCCCCCAAAUCAAUUUGGAAAUCCCAUGCUUGAAUCGCGCGGAUUUGAGGGAGGAAUGGCGCUAGGGUUCGCACGGGAGGGAGAGAGAGGAAGGGGCCGGGCGGGAGGAAGGGGACGACCGGCCUGGCGCGUGGGCCCCACGCGGUCAGGCGGCGGCGUCAGCGCGCGCACGCGCGCGGCACGGGCGGGAGGCGCGGCUCGGCUUGGGCCGGGCGAAGCCGAGGCGACCCAGGAGGAGAGGAGGGAGAGGAGGCCCGGGAGAGAGAGGGGAGGGGAGGGAGCUGGGCCGGGAGGGGAGGAGGCCCAAGAGGAGGAGGGAGAGAAGGAGAGGGAGAGAAAGAGAGGGAGGAGAGGGAGACUUCGGCCGCGGGCCGAGGGGAGAGAGGGAGGACUUUGGGCCAGACUUGGCCCAAAGGAGGAAGGAGGGUUAUUUUUAGGUUUUUCUUUUUAAAUAAACUUUGAUAAUUGUUUUUGUUGCUUAAUAAUUAUUUCCGGUGCUCUGAAAAUUCAAGUAAAAUUUGAGGGCUCCUUUUAGACCAAGGAUAAUUUAACAAAAAUUCUCCGGGCCACAUUCGAAUUUUUCUUGUACGUAUUUUAGUGUUUGCCAAAUUCUUUUCGAAUUUUAAUUAACUCUAUUAUUCCUUUUAGCGAAUGAUUUUUAAUUCGGGAUGAAUUUAUCAGGACGUGACAGUCUCCCCCGAGGAGGAAUGCGCCGCAGAAUCGGCGAAGUGGGCAUCCCAUCGGACCCCUCACUGUCCGAAAAGCCACAGCCAACUUGCACAACCUUCCCCUUCUUCUUCUUCUUCCUGGCAACAGCUCCCGGCUUCGCCGCAGAGCUAGAAAUCGCCAGAAGGGCAUUCGCUCCAGCAAUGUCUUGCGGGCGCACGGGCGAAACAUGAGAGCCCACCCCAGAUUUCACCCUAGCUGGGCUAGGAGUAUAACCAUGCGAUCCAUCAUCCUCAGAUCCGGCCUCCCUAUCGUCUUCUUCCUCCUCCCCACCAUCGCUUUCGGCCGCGUCCUUAGCGGCGCGACGAGUUCGCACCUGGCCACCCUUUGCAACCGCUCGUUUGCACUUCUUCGACGUACCGACAUCCUCGUCGCCGGCCCUAGAGGGGAUUGAUCAACCUGGCAGUUCGCCAACAUAAACUCGGUUCACCCGGCCAUCGGUCUGACGCUGAAGCAGGCGGGCGAAUUUGGCUGUGGUUAGGACGCCAACCAUUUUCGAUGCCUCCGUUUUGGCGUCCUCUAAGGUGUGAACUGAAAAAGAGAGGAAAAGGAAAACGAUGAAUUAGGCCGAAGUAUAUUUCCGCAAAAAGAAGUAUACGACACGGAGCAAAAGCAAAAACUCACGUUCGGCCCCGGUGGGGAGAACAAGGCGGGGAAGCCCGAGAACCUCUUUGUCCUCAUUGACGGAAACCCCCCAGACACGAGCAAGGGGGGAGAUCGGAAGAAGGCAAAACUCCUCGGAAAGGUCACGGGUACUUAGCCGCCGUGCGACCUUGCGAAGGAGUAUGAGCCGGGACUCGAGGGUUCCAUCGACCUCUAGGUUUGGCUUCACGACAAUGGAGACGGCGGAGCACUGGAAGCGGAGCUAGUUCGCCUUGUUGUCUUUAGUAGGGUAGGGGUUGGCGAUGUAGAGUCACUUUUGCAUCUAGUUCCUUUCCCAUUUGCCCAUCGAUGCAGGCACCGGCCAGGCGUCCGAACAUUCCAGCCGCAGCAUGAAGUUCACGCAACCGAAAACGGUUUUUCUUGGUCCGGCUGGCGUAUGCACGUCUUUGGUCGUGGCACAUGCUGUAAAUAGGACGGCGAACAGCUCGGCGGUGGGAGAGAACCUGCAGGUUCGGCACAUCCUAGCGAAGACAGCCAGCUUCGGGAUUGCUGACGGACUGAGCUAGGGAAGCCUAACCUCGUAUGUCGCCAGCACGGACGCCAGGAAAUCGUCACACGGGAGACGAAGCCCGGCGGCAAAGAAGGUGGCGAAGACGACCGUUCGCCCAUCGCCUGGCGAAGGGACAACGGCUUCGCCCCCACAUGUCCCUUGGCCCUCCGCGAGAGUGCCGGAGGAGACCAAUUCGGCCAAGUCGGCCUCUUUGACAAGCGAUUUGCCAAGAAAGCAUGACCACCCCUCCCCGAGGCUGCUAGGGUCUUCGCCAGUCGACCCGGCCUUGGUGGGCUUACGAGGAGCCAUCAGGUCCGUGGCGAAGGAGGAAUUGAGAAGCGAAAGAAAGUGAGAGUACAGAGGUGGCGAAGAGCUGAAGUGCAAACAAAUGCAGAGAGCACGGAGCGUGUUAAGUGGUAAAAAGUGAAGAGCGGAGGGGAAAAAAGCGGUAAGCCGGGCCGGGGUUAUAUAACCCCGUCGCGAGACCGUUCGGCUGCCAACCAAUCAAAUCCUGACAUGUGUCCAGGGGUAGAUGAAACGGUAAAUUCCCAUUGGACUGGAGCCGAACAGUAAAAGGCCGGGUGCGAGAAAGGAAAGGCCCAUGGGGCCCAUUACUAUUCAUAGUAAUAUAAAGAGCAGGCCAACCCCUUCGACACUUUUUGGCGAGCACAGGAAGGAAAUUUUCUUCAUGAUUUUUUUGUUAACAUGAGAGCAAAUUGUUUAAUUUGCAGACACACAAACAUAGGUUUCGGCAGGAACAUCGACCGAAAGGGGGCGCCUCGCGGUAUACCAUACGAUUUGCACGGUCUCGGCCGAAGCUCCCUACUCACCCUUGCUCGUGAGGGGCUUGUUGGAGGUAUACUGCGAAAGGCCUUCGGCCGGGCCUGCCGAAACCGAAAACUUGGGCGACAUGUUCAAACCGGAAGCAAGCGGCGAAGGUCGAAGAGGGAUACCAUAAGGGCGAAAGCCAUGGCUCGGGAAGUACGCGUGCUUCGUCGGACAGGGACCCCGUCAGGAGGCCACGCAGGCGAAGAUGGUGAGGCGAAAAGCUUCAGCCCGAAGGCAUGGGUUUCGCCAAGGUACCAUACCCCACUGUGAGGAAGCCCAGCGGGCUGUUGCGACCCUGUGGGGAUUCGCCAAGAUCAAUUGGCCGAGCCAUUUAGCCCAAUUGGGGCCAUACGUGUAAAGGACACUGUGUACCCCUAAUCAUCUCCCUAUCAUAAGGGUAACCAUGUAAAUUCUCCUGUAAAGCCUAAACCCUAAGGGGAGAGAACCUGUAAUAAGGUUAUAAAUAGCCCUUCUAGGCCAUGUAAUGGGGGAUCCCCAAAAAAAUUUUUACUAAGCAAUACAAUUGCCUUACUUUUCCAACAACUGUUUAGAGAACCACGCCUUUCGGUGUGACGCUGUUGUCUAUUCGACAACAGACAUGUCAUAAGGAAAAUUGGAACAUCUUCAAUAUUGUAAUACCCCAACCUCGGCGACGACAUAAUUACCUACUCCCUCCGUUUCACAAUGUAAGACUUUCUAGCAUUGCUCACAUACAUAUUGAUGUUAAUGAAUCUAAACACAUGCAUAUAUUUAGAUUAAUUUACAUCUAAAUUAAUAUGGGUAAUGCUAGAAAGUCUUACAUUAUAAAACGGAGGAAGUUUGUCUCAUUUACCCAAAAGAAUUGGAUUAUUUGUGUGGCUGUACACAUAUAAUCUGAAAAACUCUUUUUCAAUUUCAUUCUUGCAACUAAUAAUAGGAUUAAUCAAAUCCUAUACUGUCUCACAUGGUCACAUGGUCAAUUCUAGACAAAACAGAGCCACUGUGAACUCUUCUGUUAAUAUAUGUAUUAUUUUUAUAUGAUAUGCUAUCAAAAAUAUUAGCUAUACUUAACAAAGUAGUCUGAUAAUUCCAUACAGAGAUAUGAAGUGCCUUCAAUACACGAGAAUAGAUCGUGGAACACAAGCCGUCUAGGAGAUGGAAAAAAUCGAUGAUCCUAUCUGACCCAAGCCUCGAUCAAUUUGAUCUCGCUUCGAGAAAAAAAAGGCCCAAGCAAGACUUGUUUUAGAUCCACACAUCAGAACAUUCCAGGAACGCUUUGGAAAAACCAAACCGAUGAGGUAGAUGAUACAAAAGAUUAAAUUCUUUUUCAUGGAAUUGGAUGUUUUUUUCCUGAAACCGAUGAGGUAGAUAAGGUAGAUGUUUUUUUUCACAUUGCACAGUGCUAAACCGGAUUUUUUUUUAUAAACAUGAGGUUUUUAAUGCAUUGGGUUAGACAGUUUUUUCCGAGCGAUUUUUUUUAUAAACGAUGAUUUUUUCUCGUAUGGAGUUGGAUGGUUUUUUUUAUCUUUUUUUCGCGUGGAUUCGGACGGUUUUUUCAAUCCAUUUUUUUAUACACAAUGGAUUUUAUCUCAUGUUGAGUUGGACGUUUUUUUGAACCUGUAUUUUUAUAAAAGACUUCUUUUCCUCGUGUUGAGUCGACAGAUUUUUUCGAACAGGUUUUUUUAUAAAUGGCGUUUUCUUGCUUUUGAGUUAGGUUUUUUCUCUUUUUUUACAGACAACGGAAACUUGGCUUUUUUUUCUCAAUUGAAAAGAUGCCCGUGCAUUGCAAUGGGAAAAGGUGUUUUUUUCCAUUGGUACAACAGCUAUUAGGAGUUGAGGAAUAAAUUGAAAAAGCGUUACCUCCUACCUAGGGUUGUCAACGGGGCGGGUCAGGGGCGGGUUGGGCUGGAACGCCCCCGCACCCGCUCCCCGACUUCUCCCCCCAACCCCGGCCCCGCACAGGUGAUCGGGUGGGAAAUAUCCCCCCGUCCCCGCCCCUGCAGGGGACCCGUGGGUGAGCGGGGCUCCGUACCACCGACGGCAAACGCGAGAUGAGGAGGAAUGCAGCCGCCGCCACGGUGCAUGUGCCGCCCUUGACGUCGAUGGCGACGCCGACGCGGUUGGCCGCACCCCUGGCCGUCAACACCGCUGCCGCUGCAAGCUCCAUGGCCGUUGAUGCCGACGCAGAUGGCUGCGCUUGGCAGCCGCCGCCGCCGCCCGCGCCUUAACCGUCGACGCCGUCGCCCACCCCUUGGCCGCCACCGCUGCAAGCUCCAAGGCCGUCGACACCGACGCGGAUGGCGGCGCUUAGCAGUCGACGUGGAUGGCGGCGCUUGGCAGCCGACGCCGCCAUGGCCCGCGCCUGGCCACCGCCGCCGCCUGCGCCUUGGCCGCCAACGCCAUCGCUCUCCUUGUGAUGGGAGAGGAUAUUCCCAAUAGGCAAUAUGACACUGAAAGAGAUGGGUUGUUAAUUUUGACCAUGAUUCAGUUAUUAGAUUUAACACGAGUGCUCACACUUACAGUUAAUUAGACACCUGAGGAGACUUCAUCAAUCUCAAGUUAUGCCGGUAAAGAGUUUCAAAUGUGUUAAUAGAAGUAGGAUGUGUGUAUAUACAUACACAGGGGUAUGUGCACGCACUGUAUCCUUUUCUAAAAAAAAAGGAAUAAGUUCACCGGAGGUCCCUCAACUUAACAGCGAGAUUUUUUGAAAUCCCCUAACCAUAAACCAGAAAUGUGUGCCCCUAAAUUUACACAAGCCGUGCACACAAGGACCUAUACAGUAUAUAUGGGUGGUUUCACUGACGUGGCAUCCUAGUCAGAAAAAACAUUUUAAAAAAUACAUGGGACCCAUACACUGGUGGAGAAACCAUCUUUCGUCGGUCGGCCGAUUUCCACAGUAGUCCCGGAUGCAAUAAAAACCGGGGCUAAAGAUGUUCUUUAGUCCCGGUUCAAAAGGGUAACGGGCAUAUUUGAUCUUUAGUCCCGGUUUGUGUUACCAACCGGGACUAAAGAUGAUCUUUAGUCCCGGUUCGAAUGCUGUCAGGGUCUGUCAGGCCCUCCCGGUAUCUUUAGUCCCGGUUGAUAACACCAACCGGGACUAAAGAUGGUAACUUUAGUCCCGGUUGGUAAUACCAACCGGGACUAAAGAUCCCGGUGAUCUUUAGCCCCGGUUGGUGCUACCAACCGGGACUAAAGUCCCACCCCUAUAUAUAUGUCUUCUUCCUCCUCCAGCUGCCCGAGCAAGCUUCAAAAUUUCUUCAAAAAAGAGGGGAGGUCAUGCCAAAAUUUCUAUUGAAUUUAUUUUGGUGAUUACAUACAAAUCGGAGGUGCCUAAAAGGUUUGCAACUUCAUCCUCCAAUGUUUUUUUUGUCAUACUACAUUUGCACCUAUGUUUUGCACACUUUUUUUGUCUCCAAAAUGUAGUUGUAAGUUGAUGAGAGAGAAAAUGUGUGUGGGGAAGAAAGAAUAUAUAGAAAUUUAGUUCAUUUGCUAAACAAGGUUUUAUAAAAUAGUUGAGAAGGAAAACUCUAGUGAAAGUUAAUCUUAAAUAAUAGAAAACAAACUAAAAUGAAAAUUAAAAGAAGUAAAACACAUUAAAAUUAGUUUAUUACUUAACAAAUAGUUUUUAAGAAUUAUUUGGUGUAAUAUUUUAUGAUUUUUGUAUGAAUAAAGAUAUCUUAUAAUUAUUGUAUGACUGUCAUUAUUGUAAGAAUAAUUAUUUGUGUACGGUUUUUUUGACUCAUGUAGAUGGAUCGGCAAUGGAUGUACGCUGACCGGCGGUCCAAAGAGUUUAUUGACGGCGUGCACUAUUUUUUGAGAGUGGCCGAAGCUAACAGGAAAAGGGGUUUUAUUUGUUGUCCAUGCAAUAAGUGUAAGAAUCAGAAGGAGUAUUCUGCAUCCAGGACUAUUCAUUUCCACUUGUUUGAGUCGGGGUUCAUGCCAAGCUAUAAUUGUUGGACAUCCCACGGAGAGCAAGGUGUUGAAAUGGAAGAAGAUGAAGUGGAAGACGACAAUAUUCCGGACUUUGCUCAAUUUGUUGGAUUUGAAGGAAAUCAAACGGGCGAGGAGGAAAUAGCUGCUGAUGGUAACGACGUUGCGGAUGAUCUUGGUCAAAUGUUGCAGGACGCCAGGGAGGACUGCGAAAGUGAAAAGGAGGCCCAUAAAUUGGACAAGAUGUUGGAGGACCACAGAACUUCGUUGUACCCAGGUUGCGAGCAGGGGCACAAAAAGUUGGAUACCACUCUGGAGUUGUUGCAAUGGAAGGCAAAAAAUGGGGUUAGUGACAAGGCAUUUGGCGAUUUAUUGAAACUCGUCAAGAACAUUCUUCCGGGGGGAAACAAAUUGCCCGAGACAACGUACGAGGCUAAGAAGAUAGUCUGCCCGUUAGGACUGGAAGUUCAUAAGAUUCACGCAUGUCCGAACGAUUGUAUCCUAUAUCGCGGUGAGGAGUACGAGAACCUAGAAGCAUGCCCUGUUUGCAAAGCACUACGAUACAAGAUUAGACGGGACGAUCCAGGAGAAGUUGACGGGCAGCUAACAAAGAAGAGAAUUCCUGCUAAGGUGAUGUGGUAUUUCCCUAUAAUACCACGGCUAAGGCGUUUGUUCAGGAACAAGGGGAAUGCUAGAAUGUUGCGAUGGCACGCUGAAGAGCGUCAACAGGACGGGAUGCUGAGACACCCCGCCGAUGGUUCGCAGUGGCGAAACAUCGACAGAAAAUUUAAAGAAUUUGGAAAGGACGCACGAAACAUACGGUUUGGUUUGAGUACGGAUGGCAUGAAUCCUUUUGGAGAGAUGAGCAGCGGCCAUAGCACUUGGCCCGUUACGAUGUGUAUCUACAACCUCCCCCCCUGGCUAUGCAUGAAGAGGAAGUACAUAAUGAUGCCGAUUAUUAUUCAAGGCCCCAAGCAACCUGGUAACGACAUCGACGUGUACCUAAGACCACUGGUCGAGGAUUUUAAACAGUUGUGGAAGAAGGAAGGUGUCCCCGUGUGGGACGAGGACAAACAGGAGGAGUUUAACCUACGAGCGCUGCUGUUCGUAACCAUCAACGAUUGGCCUGCACUUAGCAACCUAUCCGGACAGUCCAACAAGGGGUACAAGGCUUGCACUCACUGUAUGGAUGAAACAGAAAGUACGUAUCUUAAGCACUGUAGGAAGGUUGUAUACAUGGGUCAUCGUCGAUUCCUUGCAGCAAACCACCCGGUACGGAAGAAAGGCAAGCACUUCGAACAUAAGGCCGACCACCGUACGAAGCCUAAACAUCGCAGCGGGAAAACAGUGUUUGCUAUGGUUAAAGAUCUUAAAGUAGUGUUCGGAAAGGGGCCUGGAAGCCAGCAUAUAGAGAGCGAAGAUGGUCACGCGGCGAUGUGGAAAAAGAACUCUAUAUUUUGGGAGUUACCAUAUUGGGAAUUCUUGGACGUACGCCACGCAAUCGACGUGAUGCACCUCACUAAGAACCUUUGCGUAAACCUUCUUGGCUUCCUAGGUGUAUACGGAAAGUCGAAAGAUACACUGGAAGCACGUAAUGAUCUGAAGCAUAUGGAACAACGCGGCGACCUUCACCCGGAACCAAAGGAGAAAGGAAGCCAUUACUUGAGUCCAGCCAGCUACACUCUUAGCAAGGCAGAGAAGGAAAGUAUGUUUGAAUGCUUGGAGAGCAUAAAGGUACCGUCUGGAUACUCCACGAAUAUCAAGCGAAUAAUAAGCACGAAGGAGAAGAAGUUCACAAACCUAAAGUCUCAUGACUGUCACGUGUUGAUGACACAACUGCUACCAGUUGUAAUAAGGGGUAUCCUUCCAGACAAUGUCCGGGCAACAAUAACAAAGCUAUGUGCAUUCAUGAACGCAAUUUCGCAGAAGGUCAUCGAUCCGGAUAGAUUAGAUGCCCUUCAGAAUGAAGUGGUGCAAUGUCUCGUCAGUUUUGAGUUGAUAUUUCCACCUUCAUUUUUCAAUAUAAUGACACAUCUGCUUUGUCACCUUGUGAAAGAGAUCCGUAUUCUCGGGCCUAUGUACCUACACAACAUGUUUCCUUUCGAGAAGUACAUGGGCGUUCUGAAGAAGUAUGUUCGUAACCGUGCUCGUCCAGAGGCAAGCAUCGCCAAGGGUUAUGGAACAGAGGAGGUCAUCGAAUUUUGCGUAGAAUUUAUCGAAGACCUUCGCCCAAUCGGGGUACCGGAAUCACGCCAUGAAGGGAGACUACGGGGAAAGGGAACUCUCGGAAGGAAAGCAAUUAUGACGGUAGACAACAAUUUAUUCCGUAAAGCCCAUUUCACUGUUCUGCAACACUCUUCAUUGGUAGCUCCUUACAUCGAGGAGCACUUGGCUCUAGUUCGCGCCAGGAACAUCGGUAAGUCCGAUGUAUGGAUUACACGGCAUCACAUUGAUACUUUCCCCGCGUGGCUACGACAACAUCUCAUGGGUAACGAGUCGAUCAACCAACAACUUGCCUUCCUGGCGAGGGGACCGUCUGGGUCGAUCGCGACAUUCCAGGGAUAUGAGAUCAAUGGGUACACAUUCUACACGAGAGCCCAAGACAUGAAGAGCACGAACCAAAACAGCGCUGUUCGUGUCGAUGCCAUGGGACACGAUGGAACAACUGCCACGUAUUACGGUGCCAUCGAGGACAUAUGGGAACUUGACUAUGGUCCUCUCAAGGUUCCUCUGUUCCGGUGCCAAUGGGUUAGGUUGACUGGUGGAGGCGUAAUGAUUGAUGACAGUGGGAUGACAACUGUUGACCUUAACAAGGUUGGAUACUCGGACGAACCUUUUGUCCUUGCCAAUGAUGUAACGCAAGUCUUUUUCGUGAAGGACAUGUCUAGCAAAGGAAAGAAGGGCAGAGGGCCUGAUGAGCCUAAGCGUCAAGUGGUUCUCCCAGGCAAAAGAAAAAUCGUCGGAGUUGAGGACAAGACUGACGAGGAUUACGAUCAGUUGGAUGGGCAACCCCCUUUCACGGUGACGAUUGACCCUAGCAUCCUCCUAUCAAAUGAAGACACCCCUUACUCACGCAGCGAUCACAAGGAGGGAACAAUAGUGAGGAGAAAGUACGUGCGGUCAACCGUCACCGCCGAUGUAAUGCUGUAAUUAUUGUGUACACGAUGUAAACUAUUUUGGAUGUAUUGAUUAUCCAUAUAAAUCAAUUGAUGUAUGGCAUAUGUUAAUUACGCACGAUUAUUAGAGGUUUCAACAAGUUCAAAUCAUGUAUAUGCUAGUUAUAUGUGAUACUUACAAUUUUUAAAAGUUUUAAAUCACAGGUGGCAAUUUCAUAUGUACGUUAAUUAGAGUUUUUAACAUUUAAUUUACUAGCAUUCAUAUGCUAAUUAUAAUUGACUAGAGGAUUUUUAAAAGUUUUAAAUCACGCAAGUGGCAAUUUUAUAUGUUAAUUAGAGUUUUUAACAUUUAAUUUACUAUCAUUCAUAUGCUAAUUAUAAUUGACUGGAGAAUUUUUAAAAGUAUUAAAUUUAAUAUAUUUUUAAAACUAUCAUUCAUAUAUUAGAGUUUUUCACAAUUUAAUUUACUAUCUUUCAUAUGCUACUUAUAUAUGACUAUUCGAAUUUUUAAAAGGUUUUAAAUCAUGCAUGUGGCAUUUACAUAUGUUAAUUAGAGUUUUUAGCAUUUAAUUUAAUAUAAUUCCUACGCUAAGUAUAUAUGAUGAUUACAAUUUUUAUUAAUUUUAAAUCAUGCAGUAUGUACAUACAUAUCUUAAUUAGAGUUUUUACCAAUAUAAUAAUAUCAUUCAUAUAUAUGCUAAGUAUAUAUAUAUAUAUUGGAAUUUUUAUUAAUUAUAAGUCAUAUAUUUGCUUAUUACGAUUUAUCCACUUAAUUUAUUACAGACAAAAAUAAUUUUUCGAAGUAAUUGUCAUUAAUCUUUAGUACUUUAAAUAAUGUUAAUGCAUUAACUUCUAUUUUAUAAACACAUAUGUAAGCGAAAAUCAUAUGCAGUGCUAUAAUCUUUAGUCCCGGUUCUUAACCCUAACCGGGUUUAAAAAGAAUUUCGAAAUAGCGGGAAAAGAUAUUUACUCCCGGUUGUUGAGAACAACCGGGACUAAAGAUAUCUUUAGUCCCGGUUGUUCUCAACAACCGGGAGUAAAUAUCUUUUCUUUACUCCCGGUUGUUCUCAACAACCGGGACUAAAGAUAUCUUUAGUCCCGGUUGUUGAGAACAACCGGGAGUAAAGAUCCGGGGGUAUAUAUAUUCCCGGUGCGCCCUCGUCUUCUUCACCAACACUUAAACGUUUUCGGCCGAUCGAUCUCUCUCGGCCUCUCUCCUUCGCCGCCACUGCCUAGGGCAAAUCCCCGCGCCGACGCCGCCGUAUCUCGCCGUCGUCUCGAGCUCGUCGUCCUCGCCGCCGCCUCCGCCUCCUCCGCUGCCGCCGCAUCUCUGGGGUGAGAGCCGCCGCCGCCAGAUCUCCCUUUAUCUCUCGAUCUCUCCGAUCUCAGCUCGAUCUCUCUCCGUCUCUCUCCGUCGCCGCCGCCACGCCACGCCGCCGCCGCCACGGCCCCGCAACGCCACGCCGCCGCCGCCGCCGUCGCCACGCCACCGUCGCCACGCCGUCACCACGCCGCCGCCGUCGCCACGCCGCCGUCGCCACGCCGUCGCCACGCCGCCGCCGUCGCCACGCCGCCGCCGUCGCCACGGCGCCAACCGCCGCCCCGAUGCCGCCACGGCCCCGCAACGCCACGCCGCCGCCGCCGCCGUCGCCACGCCACCGUCGCCACGCCGUCACCACGCCGCCGCCGUCGCCACGCCGCCGUCGCCACGCCGUCGCCACGCCGCCGCCGUCGCCACGCCGUCGCCACGCCGCCGCCGUCGCCACGGCGCCAACCGCCGCCCCGAUGCCGCCACACCGCCAUUAACGAACGAGAACGAGAACGAUCGAACGAACGAGAAGCGAGAACGAACACGUCAACGUACGUUGCCGUGAGAACGUGAACGAGAACGAGAACGAUCGAACGAACGAGAGCGAGAACGAACACGUCAAUGUAUGUUGCCGCGAGAACGUGAACGAGAACGAGAACGAUCGAACGAACGAGAGCGAUAACGAGAACGAUCGAACGAAGACAAGUGAGAACGAGGGAACGAACGUGAACGAGCUAGGGAACGUGAACGAGCGAACGAACGAGGACGAACGUUAACGUGAAAUGCAAUAUAUAUAUAUAUAUAUAUGUAUAUGUAUAUAUAUGUAUAUAUAUAUAUAUAUGUAUAUAUAUAUAUAUGUAUAUGUUACUUCGCAUUUGACUAUAUACAUCUUUUUGUAUCUUGCAGAAAAGACGUGUUGUCGGAGUCGUCCGUCAAGCCUGAGUGGAAGAGCUAGCCCUAGAAGGAAUUGGAGCAGGCAAGUGACGUAAUAAUAUAAAUGAUUGUUAUAUUUGUAAUGCAAUUAAUUAAGAUUAUUAGACCUGUAAUUAGACUUAUCAUAUAAGAUUGUGUAGUGUUCUAAUAUUAUUUGAGUUUUAAUAUAAGAUUACUUUAUUUGUAAUUAGACUUAGUAUGUAAUUAUUGACUACGGAAGUGGUGCGACAAGUAGCAAUUGACUAUUGUAGUCUUAAUUAGACUUAGCAUAUACGCACGAAACACUUAGCAGACAUGACUAUUUUAGUCUUAGCAUGUAAUAUUAUUUGAGUUUUAAUAUAAGAUUACUUUAUUUGAGAUUAGACUUAGUAUAUAAUUAUUGACUACGGAAGUGGUGCGACAAGUAGCAAUUGACUAUUGCAGUCUUAAUUACACUUAGCAUAUACGCACGAAACACUUAGCAGACAUGACUAUUUUAGUCUUAGCAUGUAAUAUUAUUUGAGUUUUAAUAUAAGAUUACUUUAUUUGAGAUUAGACUUAGUAUAUAAUUAUUUACUACGGAAAUGGUGCGACAAGUAGCAAUUGACUAUUGUUGUCUUAAUUAGACUUAGCAUAUAUGCACGAAACACUUAGCAUACAUGACUAUUUUAGUCUUAGCAUGUAAUAUUAUUUGAGUUUUAAUAUAAGAUUACUUUAUUUGUAAUUAGACUUAGUAUAUAAUUAUUUACUAGCUAGGGUUGUAUAAUAUACGUCACCUAGACUUAGCUUAUAUCACGAUUUGUAUUUAGACUUAGCACGUAAGUUUGUGUAGGGUUCUAAUGUACGACAUUUACACUUAGCAUACAUGACUUAGAUUGUUAAAACAUAAAUGUCUCGUGGCUUAGCAGAUGUUUCUUGUAUCAACAGAUGGCUGACCGCGAUGAGGAACAGAUAUUGUACGAUACAAUCGCGGAGGGAAGCAGCCAGUACUGGAAUGAAGAAGAGGGGAACGAGGAUCCAAACCAGUACUUGAACGAGGAAGGGAACGUGGAGAGGGAUGCGGAGGGGAACCAGCAGGGGCACGUGGAAAGGGAUGUGGAGGGGAACCAGGAGGAGGAGGCUAGUGGUAGUCAACCCUCCGUUGGACAGAAGAGGGCACGCGGGCAACGAGGUGCAGCGAAGAAGCUUGAGGGUCGGCACAUCAUAACGGAAGUGGAAGAAGAUGGACGUCCUAGUGCCCCGGCCGAAGCCGCCAAGAACUAUGUACGUCACAGCGGUUGGGUUGUGCGGGAUAACGUGCCUGUCAGUACGGUGUACUGGCGAAGAACAAGGGCACGAGGAGAUCAUGAGAGCUUUGUCCCAGAUUCGGAGAAAGAGAUGCUGUGGACCACAAUGCUCGAGACAUUCACCCUUCCUGCGGGUACAGAGGACAAAGUGAAAAGGUGGACUCUGAAGAAAAUGGCAGAACAGUUUCAGAGCUUCAAGGGAGAUCUGUACAAGAAGUAUAUACUGAAGGGGCAGACACCGAACUUCGACACAUUCCCAAAGCUAAGGGAUCACUGGGACGAGUUCGUUGCAUAUAAGAUAGGUGAACAAGGGCAGGCGAUGAUGGAAAGAAACAAAGAAAAUGCCGCCAAGAAGAAGUACCAUCACCACUUGGGGUCAGGAGGCUAUAGCGUCGCGAUGCCGAAGUGGGAGGAGAUGGAGGCUAGCUUGAUUGAGAGGGGUAUCGAACCGGCAACAGCCAAUUGGCCGGAACGAUCGAAGUUCUGGUACUAUGCUCACGGUGGAACGCUCAACCCAGCUGAUGGCUCACUGGUAUUCGGCGUUCAGAUACGAGAGGCUGCGCAACGACUAACAGAUGCAGUGGAAGCCUCCUCUCAGGGCACGUUCCGACCCGACAGAGAUAGGGACGAGCUGACACUCGCCCUGCAGACUCCAGAGCAUCCAGGACGAACACGAGGGAAAGGGGUGAUUCCUUGGAAGAUUGGUUUCAAGGAGGACAUCCACACGUACAGGAGUCGGAUGAGGAGCAAGAGAGAUACCGAGGCGAAGAUUGCAGACCUAGAGUUCCGGGUAUCGAGCUACGAACUCAACAUGCAAGAGGAGGUGGCAAGGAAGGUUGAUGAACGCAUGGCCGCACAUCGGUCCCAUGAUCCCCAGCCGACCAUUCCUCCUGCAAUGGUGAGCCCGUCAGGAAACCGUAGCAGCUGCGCCUCAACGGGGCAGGUAGGAUCGCAGAGCAUGGACGCCAUGCAAACACAGGACGAAUCGACCUGUCCCGUUGAUGACAUCACUCAGCGGACACCAUGUGAGCUGCAUAUUCCUUUCAAGAACUUAUCAAUAAAGGUAAGAUUUAGCCAUUCCGCUAGUUCCUGCUUAUAUAUGUUGAUUACUAAUAAAUAAUCUCUCACAACAUGAAGGUGGCGUCGGGCAUGGCCAUCCCAACGGACCCUUCAGGUACUUACCACUGCAGGCCGAUUCCAGCAGGAUACUCGAAGGUCGAAGUUGAGUUGGUCGAAGGCGCGUACGAGGACCUCGAGCUGGAUUACCCUGGAGGAGACGGUGAGACGCAUCUACGAGACACAAGCCAUGCCAUUAUUCUAUGGCGCAGGCGGUACAUCAUCCUCCCUGGGCGACAAGCGGCGUCUCGUGCACCAUCUCCUCCGGCUCCGCCAUCUCCUCCUCAUGAUCCUGCACCGUCUCCUCCUCAUGCUCCGCCAGCACCGUCUCCACCUCAGGCUCCAGCAUCGACUCCUCCUCAGGAUCCUGCACCGACUCCUCCUCGUGCUCCUACACCUACUCCCCCGCAAGCUCCUCUUCCGGCACCUUCAAAGUCAAGGGCCCCCCCAGCUGCACCGCCUGCCCACACAAGGGCAACGAAGAAGGCGAAAGUUGACGCCGCCAAGAACAAGGACCCGGGGUACGAUUGCACGCAAGAGGAGCUGGACGCUUACGUUGCAUCAGAAGUCAAGAGACAAUUCAAGCCUCGAAGUCCAGAAAAGAAGAUUCCUAUAGACCCCAGUGUCAGGAACUUCUUCAGGGGUAUGUCUGCAUCUGUCAAGGAGGCCAUCAAGCUAUCGGACUAUGAGCGAACGCUGAAGAAAGCAUCUUCUGGAAAGUCCAAACCAGUCCCUCAGCUUGGAGAGCAACCAAAACAGGAGAUCGAGCCGUUGGUUACCGGUAAAGAAAUGACGAUAGAACAAUUUAUUACUGACACCGGUCUAACUACGGAUCAAUUGCUAGGAGUCGCACCAAUCGAAAAGGCGGAAGUGAAAUACAUGUACGAACUCGGUAAACCGCUUGUCAAGCCUGAGCUGCUGCAGUCCCUACCCACACAAAUGUACAAGUUCCAUCAGCUGUACAUGGAGAUGAGCGCCGCCGGUAGAGAGAUGAUCGGAGCGAGGAUCAGGGACACGGACUUCUUGCAAGGAGAUGACAUUCUCUGGAUCAAUUUCAAGGGAAUCUACGAACUAUACCAGCUGGACGCCCUCGACGUCUCUAUUAUGAGUUGCUGGAUUUUGUAAGUAUAUCGUUCGGUUAGAUUUCUUACUAUACGUCUCCUUUAAUAAAUUAGGUCCUUGUAUAUAAGUAGACUAUAGAAAAUAAUAUACUCCCUUUUAUCGUUGUAGAAUGGAGAUUCAAAGGGCCCGACGGCGGAGGGUUUUCGAUACUGGAUUCAUCGACCCUCGGAGAGUAAACGUCGCAAUGCUCGACCAAUAUCCACAAGAAACAGAGGACAAUCUCGUCCAUCUCCUGAAGGCGCAGCAUUACAAGACGUUCAUACUGUUGCCAUACAACACAGAGUUAGUUUAAUUUUACUGUCUUCCUACAUACCAAAUUUCAUUCCCGUACGAACUUGCUAAGUGUUUCAUAUGUAAUGCAUCCCACGCACAUUGCAGAUUCCACUGGGUGCUUUUACUCAUCGACCUGGAGGCCUGCACCGUCAACGUAUAUGACUCAAUGGAUAAAAAAGAGUCUACGUUUGACAAGGUUUUCGAACUUAUAGACAGGUACCGUCAUAAGUUCCUUUGUUAAUUAAGAAAAUCUUGUUAUGUUAAUUGCUACUACGAAUCAUAGCUUUAAACUCCAUGUAGGGCUUGGUAUCGGUUCCGUCAUUUGGUCCGCGGCAAAUGGAGAGAAAGACUUAGGCGGAAGUUCAAAUUUCCUGUGAGUACACAUGCUCUACAUUUAUAUUUCUCCGAUUCAAAUACAUACAAGUGUAUAUUAAUUAGAUCUCUCGUUGUUUGUCAUUUAUUUGUAGUGCGCAAAGCAAAAGCAGGGAACUAACUUGUGCGGCUAUUAUGUGUGCGAGUAUUGCCACUGCCUUGCAGACCAAAUCAUCACCACAAGAGAGCUCGAUGUACGUACAAAUAAAUUCAAAAUUUCAUUACGUAGCGAUUUCUUGUUUAAUUACUAAUCAAUUUCAUACAUUCAUAUAGUUUAUUCGCAUGAGGGAUAACCUGACCACACACAAGGAAUUUAUCACGGCGGUUCAAGAACAACUCAUGGGAUUCAUCAACGAAGAAAUCCUUAAUCCCAAGGGUGAAUUCUACUACGACGGAAACACAAUUCACCGGUCCUUAGCUUCUGAGCUAGCAGCGAGUACUACUACGUCGAAAUGAUAGCUAGCUAGCUAGGACAUAUAAUGGAUUGUAAUUAAUACAUGACUACAUAUGUUUCUAUAUGCAUGUGUACACAUUUUCUAUAAUGUAAAUAUAUUUUGGUCAUAUAUAUAUAUCUAUAUACAUAUGCAUUAAUUUGCAUAACAUAUAUAUGUGUAUAAAUACAUAUAUAUUAUGCAUGUAUAUACAUAUAAUAUAAUAUAAUAUAUAUAUAUAUAUAUACAUAUAUAUAUAUGUAUGCAUAUAUAUGUAUUGAAACAUAUAUAUGCAUGGUUUAUAUAUAUAUAUAUAUAUAUAAACUAUAUAUAUAUAUAAACCAUGCAGCAACAGGGCCAUGCAAAAAAAAAAAUGGUCAGCUCGAUCUUUAGUCCCGGUUAUUUCACCCGGGACUAAAGAUAGCGAUCUUUAGUCCCGGAUUGGUACUCCCGGUUUGGAAACCGGGACUAAAGGGGGGUUACGAACCGGGACUACAAAGGGUUUCUCCACCAGUGAUAUAUCAUCUGCACAUCCUUUUUCCUUCUCUUUUCUCCUUCUUCUCCUCUCUUAUCUCGUUUCUCUCUUCCCUUCUUUGGGCCGGCGGCGGGCGGAAUCGGUGAGCGCGGAUGAGGGCGGCGGGCGAGCGUUGGGGAGGCUGCGGUGGGCGGUGGCGGUGGGGAGGAGCCGUUCUACGUGCCGUGGUGCAAGCGGCUGUCGGUGGACGGCAAGGCAUCCACGACGCUACGGAUAUGCAUCUGGGAGUGAGACGGUGAGGCCAGGGACAACACCUGCGACAUCGUCGCCGCGCCGCUCCGCCGCAGCUGCAGCGCCAAGGCAAUGCCGCUGCCAGCCCCGCUCUUCCGAAUGAUGACGCCGCCGCCGAGGCCGCAGAGAGGGGACGGGGAGGAGGCCAGGAGGCCUGGAGAGGCCAUCCGCAAGGGGCACCGGAGCUACAGUCUCAUGGUCAACCUGCAGCUUGGCGUAAGGUGAUACCAAUUGCUCUAUCCCUUCCUGCUCUUCCUCCCACUUUCUCAAAUACUCUGUCCCAAUGUUUGGUUUGGUUUUGGUCCCUGUGGUGAGCUGCAGCUAUUCGGUGGGGGAAGUCGUCGGCGCUGCCAUUCCAGAAGCUCGCCACAUCGGACUUUGACCCGUGGGAGAAGCUCUGCCGCCACGCUCACCCACCGUCCGCUCCGCCCGCAGCCCGCCACCGCGCUCACCCGCCGUCUGCUCCGAGCACAACCUGCCGCCGCUCUGCUGCCACACUCACCCACCGCCGCGCUCGCUUGCCGCCCACGUCCGGGCUCGCCGAUUCCGCUCGCUGCUAGCCCGAAGAAGGCAAGAGAGAAGAAAAAAAAAAGAUGUGCAGCUGACAUGUGGACCCCACCUAUUUUUUUAUUUUUUUUAUUGACUAGGAUGCCACAUCAGCGAAACCACCCAUAUAUUGAUAUAUACUUGUUAACGACCAAAUUUGGUAAUUCAAGUAUGGGGGAUUGUUGGCGAUAUGGCAUGAGGCCUUCGACCAAAUCUGCUGAAACCAGUAAGGAUUCAAGCCCGAAACGUCAAGUUUAGUCAGGGCGAAGCCCCCCAUGGCGUAGACUAAGAAGCAAGGACCGCGAGAGGCAGGGAAUCGCGCGGGUACCUUGCCAGGCCAGAGGCCUCCUGGGCGAAGGAUGCAGGGCGAAGAGUAUACGCGGAAGGGGGACAACUUCGCCAUAGCAAAUUCGACCCCGGGAGGACCAAAGAAGCCAUCCUAGCCCAUCAAGCCUAAGGGCUAAUUGGGUCGAUAAUCGCUUGACGGCCCGCUAAGGGCCCAUGGACCACAAUUACACUAUGUACCCAUGUAAAUGUCCCUUUCAUAAGGGCAACCAUGUAAAUUCCUCUGUAUAACCAAAACCCUAGUAGUAAGAACCUGUAUGCUAUAAAUAGCCCCAUAGGACCAUGUAAUAGGGGGAUCCUAAGAAAAAUUCUCAAUUUAAUACACUUUACUUCUUUCCCAACUACUGUUGAGUGACCACGUGUUUCGACGUAUGCGGUUGUCGUUUCGAUCACAGGGAUGGAGAUAAAACCGAAGCGGAAUCCAAGGUAGAGAUCGUUCCGGAAACAGAGCAAGAAUCAGCUAAAGUCCGAAUCGGCCGCGACCAGGAUCGGCAGAGUUCGAGUCGGACAAGGGUAGUCGAUUGAGUCGAUUCCGACAAUGUGAUUUGGUACACGUUGUCAGAUUGGGUUAAUGUGCUUCAUAUGGAUUGCCACGCACGGACUAAGUCCUGAAAAGGCAAUUGUAUCUAUUAGUUAGGAUAUUUUAUGUAAUUUCCUUAGAGAUAAGUUUGGGCAAAAGUCUGCCGCAAAGACUUAUGGUAUCUUAGAGUUUGUUAGAGAUAAGAGUCGUGUACGACAAGAACAUAGUUUGUAUCUCGGGUAUAAAUAUGACCCGAACCCAUGUAAUCAAACAAUCUCGGUGCAUCGCCACCCUUUUACUUUUGUUUACUUUCGACGAGUUCUUGAUUUCGGGUUGAGCUGCAUCGGUUUCGAUCUUCAACUAGAGGUAAAAUAUGUUAUGGCGGCUUGCGUUCUCAGGAUUAGUGCUUCUAUCUUUAUGAUACUCUAAUCUUGUUUAUGUAAUUCGUCGAGUUAUCAUAUAUCUUAUGUAAUCUUUGACAAUAUUGCUAUCUAACCCUCAAUCGGCGAACAUCUAUCAUUGAAAGGCAACCGAUUAGGUUAAAUAUCAAUAUUGACUCAGAUUAUAUAGGAUAUCCACCACCCUAUGAAACAUCCAACGGCUUGAUAGUCUAGAUAUUGUCUUUCUUUUCAUACUUAUAGCUGCAUCAGUUGAGUUUGACCUUAUAAGUCGUGAUUAGAAUCUUAAUCUCUAGCCUGUCUUUGCUUGCCGAUUUGGGUAGUAUCGUGGUUUCAGCCGAUCUUACUUGAUUUAGCCUUAUAUCUUAUGUGCUAGAUUGAUAUGUUAAAUCUACCCUUUAUGCUAAGAUCUUGUCGCAUCUAGGUAUAUUAAGCUUCAUGUUUGAUAUAUUUUGCCCGAUUUAAUAUCUUAAUAUAGAGUGGUAUCGGAGUAUUAGCCGAUACAUGUUAAAUCUAUCUGAUCGGCUAUGCUAUGAAUGCUAUAAUCUCCUUUUUAAUAUAUAUUUCGAUCUAAGUGAUUUAUACUGUCUCGGCAUGGCGACCGAUCUAUCCCAAUCACAUGAUUUAAGUAUAUAUUGAUGGAAGUAUUAUAUAUCAUUAAUAUCUUUAGCCGAUCGAAUACAUUUAGUCCUUUCUUACCUAUUUAUGAUUGCCGAUCGACUUAAAUAUGACAUCGGCUCAAAGAUAAAUAAUACAUCAUCGGCGACUGGCCGAUCGGCUAUCGUUUAUGGAUUUAACCGCUAUUUUUCUAUCUUUAUUUCUUGUUGAUUGCAGGAUCAAAUCAACUAGCACGCUCACGAACCUAAAGGUAAGAUUUUUGGACUUGCACUGAAGUUAAGCAGAUCUUCCAGGCCAGUGUGUGUUUUUCGCAUCAACAAUACUGCCAUAGGAUGCCCUCCCGGACAUAGACUCGGGCCCCACGUGCGGGGCCAUCCUGGAGGCCCUCGUCGGGGUGGGAGGCGACCGUGGGAGCGGCGCCGACGAGGUCAUGGUGGUCGGCGGCGGAGUCGGAGGCUGCGGGGACGAGGAGGAUAGGGUUCUGGUGGUCGGGGAGGAGCGGGACGAGAAGCUUGGUUCUCACAAUGGCUACGUCGAGGGGAUCAGGGAAGGAAUCGCUGGUUCGGAUCGCGCAAAAGGCAAUGGAGAAGAGGGGAAGAAGAUGGAGGUGGUGGUGGUUGCUGUGGAGAAGACGAUCUUGGUGGAAGAUUUCUCGUGUGAGCUCGAUUGGUAACUCUAGUACUCUACUACUACAUCUUCGCACAAUGAUGUGAGUUUUUUUUUCUUUUCCAGUUUGUUUGGUUAAACUAGUCUCUUAGAAGUUAGAUGUACUACGAUUUACUGUAUUUUUUUCUCGGUUGUUGUUUGUUAGAAUGUGAUGCUUGGCUUUUAGAUCAGAUGAGAUCCCAUGAAGUCAUGUUUCACUGCCGAUGGUUGUGAAUGUGGCUGUUCCGCUGUUCCCCUUUCAGGAUAUUUGUUCAACUUAGGUAUAUGUACAAAUCCAUACAAAGACCCGUAGAAUUAUUUGGGACAUUCCAACUAAUCUAGAAUAACUUUGUUAAGGUCAACUACAGCCAAUUCGAUGAUGAUUUAAUGUUUUAUUCACGUGGACAAAGAGGCUCUAAUCAACCUCUCUAAGCAUAGUGUGAAUAUCGUACACCUAAAAGAGAAAUCCGUGCUUUAUUAAUGUGGCCUUGGAGAAUGAUUUGUUAGUUAAAUUCACAAUCGCUGAUGCAAACAUAUACCAGAAACAUUCGGUUUGCAGCUUAGGUUGUCUGUUAGAUAUUGAAGUGUCACAUAAAAGUGACGAACAGGCCUCAAGUAUUCAUUGACAGUACGUACCAUGAUGGUUUAAUAAAAGGAAAUUAACAGGGUCUGAAUGUUAAAAAUAGAAAUAACAAAAAGAAAUUACAAUAUCUGAGCUGAGCACAGCAUGUAGCUACAUAUUUUUUCGAAUCAAAUAUUAAUUCUGGAGAGAUAUCACGUGAAUAAUGAUUGGCAACUACAAAUAUAGAUUAAAUUUCAAACUUACUACAUACUUUUGGUCAUCUCUCUGUCUCUCUGGUCGGGUGCAUCUAAUGACGACUCAUCCAUGUCUUGUGUGCCCAUCUUUUGUUGAAAUCGCUGCCCAGCCAAAGAUUAUCACACAGGGCCAAUAUGUAAUUAGCGUUCGAAUAAGUAGAAUCUGUGCAAUAACUAGCAAUACCCGAUUGCCCCUCCUAACAUAUAGUGCUAUUGCAAAACGAACGCCAUUUAAAGGCUCCGUAUAUAAGCACAGUGAUGCAAUCAUCAUCAUUGCACAGAUUGCAAUUGCAGUGCAUCGAGUCACUGGGGCCAGCACUAAAUACAUACCUAGUGCAAAGGCAGUACCCAAACUUGUCACUGAACUGAAGGCCAGGAGUAGAGAUAUGUUAAAGUGCCGACGGCGAAGUGGUAGACUAACCAUAGGCAUUCCAGAGUACAUGAGGUUGAUGAUAGCCAAGCUCGAGCAAAUGAAUGCUAUUGUGUUAGCCAUGAUGAAUGCAUCAAAUAUAUAACUUCCAGCAAGUGUUGGUGUGCCACCAUUAUUGUGAUCGUCUGCUUUGUAACCUCCUGGUAUGGCAAACAUUACGCCAAACGUGACAGUAACAAUCAGCACUGAGGCAAUACCCAAAGUUUGUGUUGAAUUUGUCAUUUUGUCCGAUUCCCUCACUUCAUCUACUUGUUUUUGAUGAAUAAUAUAUUGUUCCUGCAGGUGAUCUACCCGACGACAACCACCUCUUGCAUUGCAAAACGUUAGUGCCCGCAAUAUCAGUUUGUUAGGGUUCUGCAAAGCAAACAUAAUGGAUCAGUAGGUCAGUACUCUUUAUUUUUCUUGAGUAAAUUACACUCACGGUACAUGAAUUUGUGUGGUGGGUGCAAAUAGAUAUAACAGCUUGCAAAUUGCUCACUUUGAUAUAAUAACUUGGCUAGUAGGUGCGAACCGGGCCAAAAUGAUCCAUACAAGUAAAAUUGUUCUAAAUUAGUGCACAAUAAUGACAUAACAGCAUAUACGUACAACUAUGAUUUGGAGAUCUUAUUUCGAAUCCAAAUAAAAAGAGGAAUUAGAUGUCCAAAAGUUUAUUUUUCAUGUAUAGGAUACAAUAUUUAUUUCAUUUUUUGGAAAAAAUUGAUCAUCUAUAUAACUCGUCUAAUGUUUAUUUAUCUAUUCAAGACCAAGAUAAUUUUUAUAUGUACAAUUAACUACUAAAAGAACAUUUUAAUUUUCAUUUUCAUGUUCCGACACUUUCAUUGAAAGUGUAUUUUAAUGAUUAGGUAUUUUUAAUUAUUUUGUUUUUUUUUCUAAAUCUUGAAAGUAUCAUGCGAAUAAUAGUAAUAAUAUGUGUCAGUAUAAAAUUUUGAUGUGUAACAACAAUUACACCAGUAGUAUGUAUCAUAUUAGAUCAAUUUUACUUUUGCGGAUCGGUUUGGCCUAUGUUUGCAUGAACUAGCCAAGUUAUUGUACCCGAAUAAGCAAUUUGUAAGUUAUUGUACCUAUUUGCACCCACCAUACAAGUUUGUGUACCAUGAACGUAAUUUACUCAUUUUUCUUUGUUAAUCAAAAAGGGUUAAAAGUGUAAUCUUACCCAUCCAUAGAAAUAUCCUGCAAGAAUCUUACUCUGCGAUAUAUCUAAAGCAGUUUGCCCCUUAUUAUUUGAUAUAUUUAAGUUUACCUCCUUAUUCAUCAGUAGAGAACAGAAGAUAGCCUUAUUCCCAUGCUUCACUGCUAUGUGCAAUGCAGUGUUUCCAUCGUUGUCUUGCAUAUUCAAAAUCCUAGCCAACGAUUGAGUAUGGCAAGCAUACACAACUACAUUCCAUCUUUCCCUUUCAACGGCAACAUGAAGGAAAGUCCUCCCCUUAGAAUCGCGUAAACCAGCGAUCUCAGGUCGCUCUCUAAUAAAGGACUUGACUGUCAGAUUGGCACCGGAGGAGGCAGCGACGUGUAUGGGGUACAAUCCUUCAGAGUCUUGCUUAUACAACUGAACUGGGUUGGCUCUCAGCACAGGGAUGACCGUAUUGUAUAUUCCUCUCCGUAGAAGUGAUGCAGCGAAAUGGAGUGGCGUGCUCCCAUUUUCGUCCGAUUGCUCUGUGAGGCCAUUGUUCCAGUUCAACAACAUUUUGGUCAUCACUGCAUACAAGGUAUAUUCAUGUGAAACUAUGUUAUUAAGGGGAGCAAAUUAACGCUGCAGUAACUAAAUAGCAUUAUUUAAUUAGCCAAAACAUUAGGUUGUGGACUUGUAGUUGUUCAUUUUAAACGUAAAAAAGAAAAGAAAAGUAUCUUGCAUUGCGUGCUUUAACGCGUCUAAAUAAACACACAGUGCACAGUGGAUAAAGAAGGUUAUAUUAUCUAACUUUGUAUCUCAGGUUUAGCUUACUCACGAUGUAUGGGGAAGUCCCCGUAGUACUUGUUCUCAAUUUUUCUUCUGCAUCAGUGGAUGUGUUUUUUUCCGCUGAGUGCAAUUUGGUGCGGCAGCUGGAUGUUUUUAUUUGUUUAAUGAAAUUGGAAGAUAGCUUGCACACAUGCGCGUCCAUCUUUUUUAUUACGAAUAUUUAUACUUAUUCUAUUGUAAACAUGUUUUUUUUAAAAAAAUUUAUUUGGGAUUACCAUUGUGGCGUAUAACAAUGUAUAACUUGUAAACUAAAAUUACUUAAAAACACCGAGUUUUGAAUUUAUAAGAAAAUAUCGUGUCACGAUGAAGUUGCUACCUAUGAAACUAUAUAACAUUUGUACAUAAGUGUGUUUUUGUAAGUAUCUUACUUUUGGAAUUUCUAAAUUCUACUAAGUAACAUUUUUUUCAUACUAUAUAUGUCUUUGUGAAUUUUACAAUAUUUUAUUUGAAGAUAUUAUCUAUUAAAAAUAUAGAUAAUAUGACCGCAUCAUCUAAUUAAAUGAGGUGGAUAUGUUGAAGUAUUGAUUUAAUUAUCAGGAUAUAGUUUUGCAAUAGGAAACUACAGUUGUCCUAUCUCUUAGCGAUUGUCUUCCUGUUGGCUAUCUCUUAACGUGGCUUGUGGCUAUGGCUCUCUAUGGCUCGUGAUUGUAUGCCCUCUUCUUCUAGGAAGAAGACGAGAGAAAGAAGGAAGAAGAUGGAAAAUAAAGGAUAUUGAUGGAAAACGUGAAGACAGUGGCACGGUCCAAUUUUGUAAAAUUUUAGUGAUACGACUAUUAAUAGACGAAUUUUAAUGUCAUUUAUUUGAAUAGGCAAAUUUGUAAAGGCAUGGAUCCAAUUAAGCUAAUUUUGUUUAUUAUUUGACUGGUUGAGGUGGGAAUUUCUUGGUUUCGCUGUUUCUUCGUGAUUCUUUUCCUUCCCAAAAGUUUUCUCCUUUUUUUUCUCCAUACGAACCUUUUUUUUUUGGUAAAAUCUAAAUCAAGAGGCAUCUUGUUUUAAUGCUAACGAGAGGCCCUAACAAUAUACCUUCACUAUAGUACUAGCUAGUCCAACAAGCAAGUAGAAAAAAAUAUAUUCCUAUCACAUGUGCUUCAAAUAAAAUUCUCUUAAAAUACUUAUCCGAUCUAUGAUCCAAUUACACCGUUGUGUUCAUAAAAGUUAAAGUUUUAUAACAAGAUCUCACAUGAUUAUGUUUUAAUGAAAAAAAUAUAAAUUACUCUUAUAAUAUACCUUAAUUAAUUUUAAAUUUCACUAAACUACUUCUUCGACAUAUAAAAGUAAAUUCAAUAAAGCAUAAAAGUAAUUACAUAUAUUAUAUUAUAGAAGUAACUUAAAAUAAUAAUUUACAUAUAUUAUAGAAGUAACUUAAAAAAAAGAAAGUAACUUUGUGAUGAUAUUAAAAGUAAAUCCGUUAUGGAGAUAAAAACAUGAGUUUAUCUAGCAAUUAAAUUUAAUUAGCACAAAUUACGGAAUUGACCAAAAAUGAUAAUAAAAUAAACAAUAUAUUCACAACAUCAUGAAUGUAUAAGAAGUAAUUUAAUCAAAUCGAAAAGUAAUUUAUAUAUAUGAUAAAAGUAACUUAUUUAUAUAAUAAAAAUAUUUUACAAUAUAUAUAUAUAUAUAUAUAUUUAUUUCUUUUAUCAAAAUAUAGUCAUGUAAGAUCUUGUUGUACAAAUUUAAUUGCAACAAACACAAUGGUGUAAUCGGAUUAUGGAUAGAUAAGUAAUUUAAAAGAAAAAUCUAUAAGAAGAAAAAAAAGGCAUGUAUUAUUCGGUUUACUAGUAGGCAACCAGAUCUAAAGAUGAGUCUCUGGUUAAGACAAUAUAGGGUGCGGUCUCUGUGUAGUUACAUCUUUUUAUUGUUUGUUUUUUUUAGAAGAUCCAUUUUUCCUGCUCUAAUUUUGGUAAUUGCGCUUGACUUUCCUUUUAAUGAUCAAGUUGUUAAUAACGGCGGCAAUAAUCAGGGUUGCAUCCAUUUGAGCCGGUAGAGAGCCGGCUAUUCUUUUUCUUUUACCAUGGAAAACUGGCACAUCUUUUUAGGUGUUAGUUUUAAAAACCUAGUACACCUUUGUGAAAUAUGUCUCUAAAUUGGUGCCAGUUGAGAAGAAGUUCCCAUCCGGUAUCUAUGGGUACUCUGUAGCAGUGAUGUCAUGUUUCCCUUAUCAAAUGCUAAUGUUGUUACAUAUAUUGACAAUUAUUUGGUUAAAACUGCCAGUUUGUUACAAAUUUAUAGUAAGGUAUUUCACAAAAUUUGUUAUGAAACAAUAGGGUGAACUCAUCCAUAUAAAAGGAUGGAUCGCAACCGAAGGCAUCCACGCCUCUUCCCUAGGCGCUCCUUGGCAACGGACGCGUCUACAGUUGCCACCUCUUCCCCCUCUAUAAAUUGUACCGCAUUGAUCAAUAAAGGACCGCAUUGAUCAAUAAAGGACAUCCACUCAUUCGCUCUAUUGUGGUCAAUUCUCUCUCUCGCUCAAUCAAUCUUACCCACUUUCAACAUGUUAUCAGCACUUAGCUCUAAGCGAAGAGAAGAAAUCCGAUUGCUUUUUAUCUCAAGAAAAAGCGAAGAACAGAAGAAACUAAGGAAGCGCAUAAGGUAUGUCUACCUUGAUUUCAUCCUCGAUGCCGUUCUCGGCCUCCCUCGCCGAGACCGCACCCAUCGCCUUCGCCACCUCCUCUGUCGAUUCGAGGAGUCGCCACCAUCGCCAUGCCGGGCACCAUUCUAGGGUUGGUGGCCGCCGCCACCAUCCUCGGCGCAGCAUUUGCCGUCGCUGCUACACCUCCGACUCCACCACCACAAGCGCCCGCCAUGGCACCGGCGCCCCGCCGCGUCCAGGUCCAGGCACCAUGGAUGGAUUGCGGUGGUGACACCCGCCGGCGAGCAGUGCUCCCUCCCACUGGAGAUGGAGUCGCCACCGGCACCGUUCGUCGCCGCUCCGCCAUCACCUUCACCUCGUCGGAGCUGCUCCCCCGAUCCCGCGCCGCCGGGGUUUCGGGGAUUGGAACUCUCACCACGCGCACGGGGUAGCCGGCCUUCUACCCUCCAUCAUAGUCUCGCCACCAUGCUGGUGAAGCCGCCGCUUGCCACCCAGCCUCCCCGCUACUUUCCGCCCGCGCCAUUCCUCACGACUCCCCGAGUUGCACGCUCUCAAAUGGAGUGGGGAGAACGGCGUCCGAACCCGACCGGACUCUUACUCCGAUGAGGAGAGGGGGCUGUCGGCGGACGACGGGGGCUGCGGUGACUAUAGCGGUGAGGGCGGCAGAAAUGGAGGCGCCGGCAGUGGUGUAACAGGGGAAGAAGGUGCGGCAGAAAAGGAAUCGGUGGUGGAUGAGGGAGUCGGCAGUGGAAACGGCGCUGGAAGUGGUGAAGAAGGAGGCGCCGAAAUGGACGGUGGCGGCAGAAGAGGUGCAGGAGGCGGCGCCGCCUCGGCGACAUCAUGUGCGGCGGCGGCGGCACAAACCGCGGGGGCGGUUAGGGUAACCCUAACCCCCCCCCCCCCCAAGCCCCCCUACGCCCUUUUCCUCUCGGGCCUGAUGGGCCGGCUACACUCUAGCGGUGGUGGGCCGAAUCCUAUUGAUUUCGGCCCACCACCCAUUUACCCCUUUAUUUUAGUUUUUAAUUUUAUUUUAGCAGCAAUUUCAUAUUAGUCCCUGUGUUUUAUUUAAUUUAGUACAAGCAGUUCAUCAGUUGUACAAAUUACAAUGUAAGACCACUGGUGUUAUAUGUUACUUAACAUAGGUGUUUAUUCAAAUACCCUGCUUCACUAAAUUUCAUGUUGUCUUAAUUAAAUGCCUUUUGCAUAUUAUUUUGAGACAUGCUCUACUUCCUCGCUUCAUUAAUUUACAAAAUUCUUUAAAUUUUGUACUUUAAUUUAGCAAAUUCUCUUAAUUAUGUACAACAUGAUUAAUGGAGGAUUUAAUGCAUGUUCCACUACACAUUUUGACUCGGAAAUUAAUCACAUGUAGCUGGAGUCCUAUAUUUUGGUCAUCGUGACCAUAACCUAGGUAGCAAGUAUGUUGCCCAUCAUUAAGUGUUCUACAUUUUGAGAUGAUUACCCGGUGGAGUCCUACAAAUUGGCCACACUGGUCAUAACCUAGGCAGCGAGUAUCUCGCCUAUCACACAGAGGUCUACAUCUCACGAUGAUUACCCACAUGUGGUAUUUUCCGAGAAUAUGUUUUGAAAAAUGAGAUUAUUUGAAAUUUGGAUAAACACAAGGUAGUGGAGUCCUAAACAUUGGCUGCGGUAUAUUCACCAGAAUAUAUUUGCCUAGAGAUCAUGUUUUAGGCAGCAAGUAUAACUUGCCCACUAUUAAGAGAUCUACUCCACUGUUUAAUUACUUGGAGAUUAUCCACAUUGUGCCACCUAAUUUCGAAUUCUAACUCAAAUUAUCAGGUCUAUAACCUACAUCUUUUCGAAACAUUACAAAAUAUGAAGUCUUACAUUUCGCAUUGAGAUUACAACCUCAAUGUCAUGUUUUUAUUAAUUUACCUCUGUAAAUAAAUAAUGUUAAUCAUGAUUAUAGGGACAUGACAACUAUAGAGUUCGACGAACUCGCCCUCGAUGGGAGUAACUACCCAAUUUGGGCUUCCGAUAUCAAAAUAAAUUUUUGUUCUCGUGGGAUUUCAAAUACAAUUUAGGAACCCAAUGAUUGGGAUCCACUAGUUGAGAACAGAAAGCUAUAUAUUGCCAUUUUCCUUCUAAGGCUCUACAUCUAUAAAGAUCUCAAACAUGAGUACAUGUUGGAGACGAGCCCUCUCAACCUAUAGAAAGCUCUAAAAGAGCGUUAUGAUCAGCAAAAGGAACUCAUUUGGCCUGAGGCUAAUUAUGAGUGGAUUCAUUUACGCCUACAGGAUUUUGCGAAAAAGAGCCAACGGAAGCAGAGAAGAUAGAGAAAACUCUAUCAACUAUGUUUCCAAAGGACAGGAUACUGAACCAAUAGUAUCGCACUAAAAGGAUUCAAGAGAAAUUCCUCGAAUAACCCUAAGAAUCUAACUGGACAACGCAAACGCAACAACAGGCGCAAAUCCAAUGGUCGACAGAAAGGAAAAGGGAAAGGUCAGGCACCACAACCUCGUGGCAAAUAGCAACAGGCAUUACAACAAGUGUGGAUCUGACUAUCAUGUCACUAAAGAUUGCCGCAUCCCAAAAACAUCUUGUUCUCAUGUAUCAGAAAUCCCUAAAGGAGAAAAAUAAAUCUUCUAAAGAACUAAGAUUUGAAGCUCACUUUAAUCUUACAAAAGAAAGACCUGAGAUUGAAAGUUCUCACCAGGUUGAAGCUCACUUCAAUCUUACAAAAGAAAAACCUGAGAUUGAAAGUUCUCACCAGGCUCCUAUUGAACCAGAGAACAACCUCGCUCUUCUCCUAGAGGAUACCGCGGCACUUUCUGCAAUGGAUGACAUGCUCAUCGAGUACUGCUCAACGGACCCAGUUGGAGAUUUACUAUGAUCGCAGUGCACCCCACUUAGAGAUAAAGCUGCUUUAAUCUCAGUGUGUUUGAGACAUUAUAUUGAUAUCCUAUAGUUUGUCAAAACAAUAUUGGUUGUAAUAAGUAGAUAAGUACAAACUCCCUUAUAUUAUAAGGUUGUAAGACUUGCUAGUCAUUAGAGUAUGUACUUAUAACAUUUGUAAACAUCAUACUAUGUAUUUGAUGUUUUAAUUAUUGUAUGUAUGUAUAUAUUGUGGAUAAAGAAUUCUUCACUAAGCAAUUCUUCUUUCACUAUAGAUGUCUAAGGAUAUGACUCCGAUUGGAGAUGAAUUAUGUCUUGUGGACAGUGGUACCACAAACUCUAUACUUAGGGAGAUCAAAUACUUUCAAGCUCUCAAAAAGAGAGAAGGCAAAGUUUUGACUAUCGCUGGGCGCGAUACUGUGAUAUUUGGCUCAGGACGAGCAACUAUUACACUCCCAAUGGAUACACAAAUUACAAUCGAGGAUGCUUUAUUGUAUCCUGAUUCAACCCAUACCCUACUAAGUUAUAGAGAUAUCCGUCAAAUUGGGUUUCACAUUGAAACCCAUAUGCAUAAUCGAGAAGAAUUUCUUCUCUUAACCAAACAAAAGGGAUAUGGCAAACGCAUUUGCGAGAAAAUUCCAUCUCUCACAUUGGGAUUGUACUAUACAUACAUUAAGCCCAUUGCACAUGUUGUGUACAAAGUGAUUUUUUAAAAUGUUGAUGCAUUCCACACUUGGCAUGAUCGACUUGAGCACCCGGUAUCGGGAUGGUGAGAAAAAUUAUUGACAAUUCUAUUGGUCAUCAUUUGAUCACUGACAAAUUUCCCAAAUACUCUGAUUUCGUAUGCACAGCAUGUGCUACUGGGAAACUGAUUUUGAGACCAUCUUAUCUCAAAAUUAGAGCCGAACCACUUAAAUUCCUUGAACGCAUUCAAGGAGAUAUCUGUGGCCCUAUGGUGCCAAGAUCUAGACCGUUCAGGUACUUUAUGGUUUUGAUUGACGCAUCUACUAGAUGGUCUCAUGUGUGUCUUCUAUCGACACGAAACCAUGCCUUUGCCAAACUAAUGUCUCAAAUUAUAAGGCUGAAGGGAAAUUAUCCUGAACAUAGGAUUCAAUCAAUCCGUAUAGACAACGCUGCCGAAUUUACAUCUCAUGCUUUCGAUGAUUAUUGUAUGGCAUUGGGAAUUCAGGUUCAACACUCUGUUCCAUAUGUCCACACACAAAAUGGUUUGGCUGAAUCAUUGAUCUAAAGAAUUAAGCUUAUUGCCCGACCAUUAUUGAUAAACUGCAAAUUACCUUCGUUGUGUUGUGGUCAUGUAGUUCUGCACACUGCUGACCUUGUCCAACUACGACCAACUGCAUUGAGGAAACUGCAUAUCGUGAAACUUCCCCAAUGCAGUUAGUACGUGGAAAUCCUCCAAGUAUUUCCCAUUUGUGUAAGUUCGGUUGUAUUGUAUACAUACUGAUCUCACCACCACAUCGUACCGCUAUGGGCCCACACAGGAAAGUGGGGAUCUAUGUGGGAUUUAAAUCUCCGUCGAUCAUAAAGUAUUUAAAACCCUUAAUAGGUGAUCUAUUUACUGCCCGGUUCGCUGACUCUAUCUUUGAUGAGGAAAAUUUCCCGGCAUUAGCGGGAGACUUCAAGUACCAGAAAGAAUGACAGGAAAUUGAUUGGGAUGCCCAGGGUAUUCCAGCCUCACACCCACGCACUACUGAAACUGAACUUCAAGUUUAGGAAAUUAUACAUUUGCAAAGACUUGCAAAUAACCUGCCAGAUGCAUUUACUAAUUAUAAAGGUGUUACUAAAUCUUUCAUUCCUGCUCAGAAUGCGCUAGAAAGAGUGGAGGUACCAAAUAAAACCACUCAACUUCCACUCACUAAAAAGAGAGGAAGAAGUUUGGCCACUCAGCGAGAUACAGUUGCUAGCAAGAAAAGAAAGACAAUAAAUGCAAACCAACCUUAAGUUGGUACACACCAAAUUGAUACUAUGUAUCAAGCAGAUCGUGAUAAUCUGCAACCUAGCCCAGUUGUGCAUAAUGCUGAGACUAGGAAUUCAGAAGACCAUAGACACAUUGUUUUGGGAAAUCACAAUGAGUCUAUAAGGGUUGAUGAAAUUGCCAUCAACUACUCGGAAACUGGAGAAUCUUUUGAUAGAAGAGCUACAAUUGUUGACAUUAAUUUUUCUGAAUAAAUUGCUGAUUGCCUGCAAGUUGAUCCAGAACCUAGGUCUAUAAAAGAGUGCCAAAAGCGCUCUGACUGGAACAAAUGGAAGGACGCAACUGACGCAGAAUUAGCCUCGCUUUACAAAAGAGAUGUAUUCUCGGCUGUAAUGCCUACUCCUCGUGGUAUCUUUCCUGUGGGAUACAAAUGGGUUUUCGUCUGGAAACGGAAUGAAAACAAUGAGGUGGUGAGAUAUAAAGCAAGGCUUGUAGCACAAAGUUUUACGCAAAAACAUGGCGUUGAUUUCAACUAAACUUACUCUCCAGUUAUGGGUGGUAUAACUUUCCGAUAUUUAAUAUCAUUGAUAGUACAAAAUCGUCUAUUUAUGCAGUUGAUGGACGUAGUGACAGCAUACCUUUAUGGAUCACUUGAUUCUAAUAUUUACAUGAAGGUUCCUGACGGAAUCGACAUGCCGAAUCAGAAGGUAAAUCGUAACAUGUAUUGUGUUAAGUUGCAGAAGUCACUUUGUGGCUUAAAACAAUCGGGCAGGAUGUGGUACAACCGAUUAAGUAAAUUCCUUUCACUAAAGAGAUACACUAAAAAUGAUGAUUGCCCAUGUGUCCUUAUCAAAAAGUCCCCCACAGGAUUUUGUAUUAUCUCGGUAUAUGUCGAUGAUCUUAACAUCAUUGGCAAUACACAAGAUAUUAAUGAAGCACGUCAUCAUUUAAAGACGGAAUUUGAGAUGAAGAAUUUGGGUCAAACCAAAUUUUGCUUAGGUAUACAACUUGAGCAUUUACCUUCUGGAAUCCUUGUGCACCAAAGUGCAUAUACCUAGAAAAUUUUGGAGAAAUUCAAUAUAUGGACAAGUCAUAUCUUUCCAAAACCCUUAUGGUGGUUCGAUCUCUAGACGUGGAGAAAGUCCCAUUUAGACCAAAGGAAGAUGGUGAGGAUGUGCUUGGACCUGAUUUUCCAUAUCUUAGUGCUAUUGGCGCACUUAUGUAUCUUGCAAAUAGUACGAGGCCAAAUAUUGCUUUCUCGGUAAAUCUAUUAGCAAGAUAUAUCGCUGCUCCUACCAAACGCCAUUCGACUAGAGUUAAGAAUGUCUUUCGAUAUCUUAAUAGCACAAGAGAUCUUAGACUUUUCUUUAAAAAGAACCAAGAUUCGACCUUAAUUGGGUAUACUGAUGCUGGCUAUCUAUCUGAUCCCUACAAUGCCAAAUCACAAACAGGAUUCGUACUUUUACAAGGUGGAACUGCUAUUUCAUGGAAGUCUUCUAAACAGACACUGGUAGCCACUUCCACAAAUCAUUUUGAAAUAAUUGCAUUAUAUGAGGCAUCACGUGAAUGUUUAUGGCUUCACAGAAUGAUUAACCACAUAUUAACAUCUUGUGGUAUUGGUUCAUUAGAAUCACCUACCAUUAUCUAUGAAGAUAAUGCCGCUUGUGUUGUUUAGAUGGAAACUGGUUAUAUUAAGAGCAACAUCACUAAGAAUAUUGCUCCUAAAUUAUUUUAUCCUCAUGAGCUUCAGCAACAUGGAGAGAUAAACAUCUUGCAAACUAAGUCAUGUGAUAAUCUCGCUGAUUUAUUCAUAAAAUCUCUGCCAUACUCCAUAUUUUUUAAAUGUGUCGAAGGAAUUGGUAUGAGAUGACUUAAAAAUUUGCAGGAUUGAGGGGGAGUAACUCUCUCUGGGAAAUAACCUAUUUUCGUCAUAUUAUACUAUUUUUCCUUUGUAUGAGUUUUACCCUUUAUAUUUUCUCAUCCAAAGUUUUUAACGAGGUAAUAUCAACAUAAGUUAUAUGUCUUAUCAUUUUGCUUUUCCCCACUAGGGUUUUUACUAAAUGAUAACUAUAGACAUUAUACUAAUUUUGGACCAUACUAUGAGCUUUACUCAUAAAGUCUAAAAAUAGUUAACUAUAUAUCACGGUUCUUCUCCUUAUUUUCCCAAUGGGUUUUUGAGGAGUUUACCUGAUGUAUCUAAUACAAUAAAUUAUAAUUAUUUCUAAGAUUAUGUUUACAAAUAUUCUGGAACAAUGAAAGAGCAAUGAUCAAAGCUGGAUUCGAUCAAGGGAGAGUAUUAUGAAACAAUAGGGUGAUCUCAUCCAUAUAAAAGGAUUGAUCGCAACCGAAGGCAACCACGCCUCUUCCCUACGGAAUUGCUACUAGGCGAUUGCUCGCUCAGGGCGAUCAGAUCCGAUCCCCCUCCCCCUCCUCCACGUGGGUUCCUUUUUUGGCACCGCAUUACUUUCCUAUUUUAGUAAAUUUAUGCACCUAAAGUUUGUACACCUCAAGUUUACACAUCUAAAGUUUAUACACUUAAAGUUUAGAGACCCAAAGUUUAUAAGUCAAAAGUUUAUACAUCAGAUUCAAAUUUGAAUUUGAAUUCAAAUAUAUUUUAUAUAUAAUAUUUCUGUACAUCUAAAGUUUAUAGACCUAAAGUUUAUAAUUCAAAAGUUUAUAUACCCGAUUCAAAUUUGAAUUUAAAUUAUAUCCGAUUCAAAUUUGAACUUGAAUUCAAAUAUUUUUUAUAUAUAGUAUUUCUUUACAUCUAAAGUUUAUACACCUAAAGUUUAUAGACCCAAAGUUUAUGAGUCAAAAGUUUACAUACCCGAUUCAAAUUUGAAUUUGAAUUCAAAUAUUAGUUUAUAGACCCAAAGUUUAUAAGUCAAAAGUUUACAUACCCAUUUCAAAUUUGAAUUUAAAUUCAAAUAUUUUUAUAUAUAGUAUUUUCUAUACAUAAAUUUUUCCAACUUUAUUUUUUUAUUUUUUUUAAAUUUAUGGUGUAGUAGGAAGAGAAGAAGGGGAGGAGGAAGGGAAAGAGUAGAGUAUAGGGGGACGGAGAGCGAUCACCCGCCCAUUAGCACCCCCCUCUUCCCUAGGCACUCCUUAGCACCCAUUUCCUAUCUAUAAAUUGUACCGCAUUGAUCAAUAAAGGACAUCCGCUCAUUCGCUCUAUUGCGUUCAAUUCUCUCUCUCGCUCAAUCUCUCUCGCUCAAUCAAUCUUAUAUACUUUCAACGAAAUUGACACGAUAGCAAACCAUUUUAUUUUUAUUAGAAAGCUACAAAUAUUUCCCACUAUAUAUGUGCGUAUGACUUGCAUUGUGGGCCCCAACUUGCAAAAGCAUGAGUUUUGCAUUUGUGUAUGACAUAUUGACCUAUAAACUUAUAAAACAAAUUAAGUUGUCGCUUUAUGAUAAAAGCAAAUAUAUGAUUCAAAAUAAGUAUGGAAUAUAGCUAGAAUGAAAUUCAAAACAGCAAAUAUAAAUUGCACACGUACCUUGGUCUUGUAGAACGGCUGCGUGCAAUGCAUUUUGUCUAUUUGGGCCAGAGUACGAAAGAUUCCCGUCUGUCAUUUGAUGCAAUAACUUUGCAAUGUCGACCUGUUGAUGCAAGACAGCUAGGUACAACGGUGAAGUACCUGUUGCAUCCAUAAGGAAGCCGGCCAAUUCUGAAUAAUAUUUAAGAAGGUUGGUGAUUAUAUCCUUAUUUCCAAUGCAGACGGCAUCAUGAAAGGCCGUCUCCUUACGGCAGUUUUCCUUUCUCAGGAGUUCCUCCAGUCUCGCGCUGCUAGGGGAGUUGUCCUUAGUUUCAACCAGAUCAAUUAGAUGAUCAACCAUUUUGGAAUGGCCAGCCCGGACAGCGCAGUGCAGAGGUGUGUCACCGUUGUUGUUCUGCACUAACAUGAGAUGUUGGGACCUGCUGUAGAUGACGCCUGCACUCCUCAAGUAGCCCGGGCCAUCACCGCAGGUGGCCACAACAUGGAGUGCAGUGUUCCCUUCAGUGGUGACCCCGUCCAGAUCCAUGCCCGACUCUGCAUCUGCACCAGAAGCUUGCUGCGUCGUCAUAUCUAUACCUUCCAGAGUUAUAACUCACUAAAUAUUAAACAUAAUAUAUAAAGAUACCACAUUAUUAUCUACUAGCAAUAAUAUUAGUUAUAAAAAAGCUAAUGCAUACAUACAAUAUCAUUUAUAAUUUAUUAAAUUCUAUAAAUCAACAUGUAAACAUAUCCAAUCAUCAUCACCUCUCACAUCAUUUCUAAAAUAUUUUAACAUAUAUAGUCAUCAUUUUUAUAAUACUUGACAUGUAUAUUCACUAGUACAAAACCUUUCAUCUGUGACGGUCUCUAACAUGCCUAGAAUUAGUAGGCCGUCACUAGAAAGUCAUCUCAAUCGGGCCGAAAAAGUGUCCGAUUAAGAUAUAGUCGCAUAGACAUAUUAAAUGGGCAUAAAACUCAGGCUCGUCACGGAUGACACCUAUCAGUGACGGGCCGUAAUUUAGGCCCGAUUGAAAUAACGUUCCAUAGCUCAAUCGGGCCUCAAGUUUGAGAAAUGGAACAUUAUCUCUAUCGGGGCUAAACUUGAUGAUCAUCCGUGACGGGCGCCAACUUGAGACCCGAUUGAGAUAUGGAUCGUUAUCUCAAUCGGGCCUAAACUACGGCCUGUCACUGAUAGAGGUCAUCAGUGGCGGGCCUGAUUUUUAUGCCCAUCUAACAUGUACGUGCGACCAUAUCUCAAUCGAUAAUAAUUAGGCCUGUCACACAUGACUCAUCCGUUAACUAUAGUAAUGCCCGAUUAAUAUGACUUAGUAUUUUUCCAUUUUUCAUAUGAAAUGUUUAUAUUUGUGAGUUGACCUAUAUCAAAAUAAUUAACUGCAGUAUAAUAAUUCAUUUUAUUAUUUUUUCGGGUAGUAAAUGAUUUCAAAUGGAAAAAUUGUCAACAACAAACUUGUAUAACUUAUCAAGAUUUAGAACUUUUAUUUUGGUCAUUUUUCUAUAUAACUCUUUUUGAAUAGUUUGAAUUUGAAUUUCAAAAUAUAACAACUUCAAAACAACAUUUUCAAAUACUAAAUGAUUUCAACUAAAAAAGUCAUCAACAACAAAUUUGUAUAACUUAUCAAGAUCUAUAACUUUUAUUUUGGUUAUUUUUCUAUAUAACUUUUUUUUUGAACAGUUUGAAUUUGAAUUUGAAAAUAUGACAACUUCAAACAACAUUUUCAAAUACUAAAUGAUUUCAACUAAAAAGUCAUCAACAACAAAGUUGUAUAACUCAUCAAGAUCUAUAAUUUUUAUUUUUUUCAUUUCUUCGUCAGACAAAGUGUUAGUAACAUUGUUCACAAAUUUUACAUAUCUAUUUUAUAGUUUAUAAACCAAAUAAGAGAUAUUUGCUAGUUGUGGCCCGAUUGAGAUAGGUCAGCCGUGAUGGGCUAUAGUUUGACUGGUCGUCUGGUUCAAGGCUAUCAGUGACGGGCUUUAAUUGAGGCCUGAUUGAGAUAGCUUCAUUAGUGACAGCCGUUUGUCCGAUUGAGAUAACUUUUCACAUCUGUGAUUUCUAGGCUGUGACGGACGCCAUGUCCGACUGAGAUGGGGGUUGCCGCCUGAUUGAGAUGGUGGUUACCGUUCUAGUGAUUCAUCCAUAUAUUCCAUAUCAAAGCAUGGGAAAUUAUUUAGUUUUUUAUGAUUAGUACUAAUUAAUCCUUGAUUUUCAUCAUUUUUUCUAUCUCCCGCUUCUUGCGAUGUAAAUUUUGGUCAACAACCUAAUAUUUUAUCUACAAUCUUCUUUGAGUCUAUUAACUUUAUUUCUCUGUAAAUAUGACUUGGCAGAACAAUUUUAUUUGCUAUCAAUGACUAAUAUCAUGUUUACUCCUUGCUCAACUGUUGAAGAAAAUAUUAAAGAUUACAUAAUAAUUCUUAUAACAUGGGUAAUUUUACCAUUUUUGAGAAAGUAUUUAGAGGUACUAUAUUUUCGAGUUUAAAUUUGGUACCUAUAGGUACUAGCUACUAAGGUACUAAAAAAUUUUUCAUAAAAUUUAGAUAUCUCAAGAUACUUUCUCAAGAACAUAAAAUUUAGAUAUCUCAAGAUACUUUCUCAAGAACUAUAAAGUAUAAAAUUCCUCAGAGCAUGGGAAUCGCCUAGUUAUUAUUAGAUCCAUUACCCGAAGAGUCCCGUUGGAGAUCAUUAGGAAAUGCUCGAGCAGCAGCUAUAUAUUGCUUCCAUGUUCAGAAUAUAUUAACACACGAUUAAUUAAGUUUUAAUUAUUGAAAACUUAACAAAUAGAUAUAUUUAAUAUUUUAAAGCAAUAUAUAUAUAUAUAUAUAUAUAUAUAUAUAUUUCAUAUGAAACACACCGUUUAGUAAAUCUUAAUCUCUGUAAGGAAAGAAUACUACCAUAAUCAUUUAGACGACCCUGCGAUGCUAGUGAUAGCAACAGGGGGUUCAUGGACGCAGUGGAAGGCUUUGCGGCGUCUUCUUUUUUGGACGCCAUCAUCAUCAACAUUGCCGCUGCAUCUCCCUUGCCGCUGCAUCUCCCUUGCCGAUGCUCCUCCCCGUUCUUCAACGCCAUCGCCACCUCAUAAGCCUCUCUACUUAAGGACAACGCCGCCACCAUGGUAGUGGAGUUUUCCUUAUUCACUAGAUCCUUCAGCUGCUGGCUUACAGCACGGUCUGUGGUGACCAUCAGUUGAGCGACCAUGGGCAAUGGAGAAGAACUUGUUGCCAUGGAUGUGCUAGGAGGUUCCUCUCCGUUACUCGCAGCCAUCAUCACCAGUACUCACUACAGGUACAAGGUUAGUCUCACUUGCACUUUCGUGGUUAGCUAUUGGUUGGAUGAUCUAUGUGGGAAAGGCUGGUAUAUAUAUAUAUAUAUGCGCGCGCUGGAGGGCCACAAGGUGGUGCACUUAAACUCAGAUUUGAGGGCAAACUUAUAUACAGAUGUAGUUGUCCAAAGCCCAAACAUGUACACCCUUCAUUUCGUAAGAGCUUUAACUUUUUUUCUAAGUCAAAUUUAUAUAAUUUUGAUUAAGUUUACAGAAAAACAUGAUAAUAUUUUCAACAGCAAACAAACAUGCUAUCAAAAUAUAUUUAAUAUUAGAUUUAAUGGAUCUAAUUUGAUGUUUUAAGAGUUGUUAGAUUUCACUAUAAACUUGAUUAAUUUUAUAGAUUCGUUUAAUAUAUUGACGUGCAAUUAUUUUACGCGUUCGUGAAAAAAGAUUAAAUUUAUAGAAAUUUUAUUUAGGGAAAAAUGAAAGUGUAUUAUAAUAUGAAACCGAGGUACUCCCUCCCUUCCAAAAUAUAAUAACUUUUAGCCUUCAAAAUUUUUCCAAAAUAUAACAAUUUCUUCUCUAGUAUUCUCUUCCCAACCAAUCACAACCCUCCACUAUUUAAUUUUUCCAUCUACCUUCACAUCCCAUUCAAUCACAACAUUCUCUCGUUUAAUUCUACCAACUUUCUUAAUAACCGUAUCCAACGCUAAAAACCCUUAUAUUAUGAGACGAAUAUGGUAGUAACUAGUAUAGACACUAACCUUUUCUUCCGACGUCAGAAAGUUACAACCGAUGACAUUUAUGACGAGACUAAGACAGAAGUGAUACUCUAAGUACCAUAUUCUCUCCUUUCUUUUAAUUUUGUACAUAUGAAAUUCCAGUUUGGUGUGUACUCAGCAGGUGCGUGUGGUUAUGCGUUGACUAUAAUAUGUACGUUGUUUUGUAUGUAUACCCCUUUAGAAGACUAUAGUCACUACUUGACAAACGAGUUUUUAUCCAAAGCCCCAAAACAUAAAUAUUUCAACUAGAUUAAGUACCGGUAGUACCGUUUCUAAAAGUCCAAAUCGCUAUAAACAUCUCUAAUCUCGGUUGGUGUUAUCAACCAAUAAAAAAUAUAUCUUUAGUACCGGUUGGUAGUACCAACCGAGACUAAUGUUGGAUGAUCUUUAGUUUGGUUGAUGUUAAUUACUAUCCAGCAUUAAAGAUGCAUUUUUUGUAUCGGUUGAAAACAACAACCCGUACUAAAGAUAUUUCUAAAACCGGUUGAUGUUACCAAAUGGUAGUAAAGAUAUCUUCAGAGUUAGUUUAAAAGAAAAACAUCUAUAUUCAAGUUAGAUGUGUGUAGUAGGUGAGAUGGUAAUGUGCGUGAGGGCUAAGGUGAAAGAUUUUGAGUUCGAAUGCAACAUCUCACAUAUUAUUUUGGCUUAGUAUGUAUCUUUAGUAUCAGUCCUUUCAACCCUUCUUAGUCUCGAUUUACCUAGAAUCACUAUCCUUCAUCCACUUCGCACUAGCCUAUCAAUUCCCAACAAUUAUAUGGGUAAAAUACAUUGUUGGUGCUUAAGCUCGGAUGAAUACUGUCCUUUUCACCCAUCUCUUGCUUCAAUGUAUAACUCAAGAUCUAAAGUUUAAAUGACGCAGCUCAAGUGACAGUCCACGGUAAUAAGAAUUUUACACUUGGUCUAUUUGCGAAGUUAUGCCCUCAAAAUUAACUGCUACUUCCUAAAAAAAUCAACUCCUAUCAUCCCUAAUCAACACAUAUGCAUUUCUCAACGUCUGAAAAAUUUAUAGCUCAAGUCAUGCAUCAAAAGAUGAAAGUAAAUCUACAAAUAUUCUAUUCAUUUACUUCGGGUGUGUUUAGUUCACGCUAAAAUUGGAAGUUUGGUUGAAAUUGGAACGAUGUGAUGGAAAAGUUGGAAGUUUAUUUGUGUAGGAAAGUUUUGAUGUGAUGGAAAAGUUGGAAGUUUGAAAAAAAAAGUUUGGAAUUAAACAAGGCCUUCUUUUCUCAUAAAUAUCGGAGAUGUAAAUUUUUUGGAGCUAUUGCGUUCUUGUUCUUGCUUUGCGAUCUAAUUGUGAUUUUACCCCUAUUUUUUAGGGUUUGUGCUUUUGCCCCUGCUUUUUCGAAAUGAGCAGCCUUUUGCCCCUGGUUUUGACGGGAGUUAGGUGGGCCCGGAAUUUUUGAGUUAAACAAAGGGAAAAGAAAAUAAAAAAUGAUAUUGCAAUUUCUCAAUGACUGUUAUACCCAUGGUGAGUAGUAAAUCACUAAGCAGCUGUGUGUAUCGGGUUGAAGCUGUGUAUUUCCCCAUCCAGCAUGGCCUAGCGAGUGGUGGCGAUGGCGCAGCAACAUGACCAUUCAACCGGUGGCAGCGGCGGCGACCACUGGCGAGCACGUUGGAGGCGAGACGGCGACCGCGGGCUAGCGCGGCGGCGGCGACCGCAGGCCGACGCGCAGGAGGCGAG
This 58565-nucleotide long non-coding RNA is filed under the name Oryza sativa (Asian cultivated rice). Its description in RNAcentral is "long non-coding RNA (OSAT_LNC001626)". Lineage: Eukaryota; Viridiplantae; Streptophyta; Magnoliopsida; Poales; Poaceae. The record is from RNAcentral.